AAGUACUGGAAAGUAAAAGAAAUAACACCAGUACGUUUUUUAUUCGCAGAAACCGUGCACCAGGGAGAAAAACUGCGUGCCCCUAACUCUUGAGGGACAAACCUUUCCACUAUGUAAAACUCACUUCUUACAAGAUUAUAGUCUAGGGAUACAACGACGAUUUGCAAUCCUGUCUAGUCUACCCACUAGUCUAGAUCUAUCUCUCCUCACUCCUCACAAGAUUAUAGUCUAGGGAUACAACAACGACUUGCUAUCCUGCCUAGUCUACCUACUAGUCUAGACCUACCUCUCUUGUCUCUCAAGUGUUUACAUAUGAAGGUAUAAGAAGAAGUUUCAACUCAGAACUCAGCUAACGCCUUUAACUGAUUCUUCUUGAACACUUCUCAGAAUACUCAACUCAGAACUCAGCUAUCCUAAUGAGAGGGAUUCUUCAGACCUCAGCUAACACCUUUAACUGACUCUCUAGAACUCAGCUCUCCUCGAUCAACUGAUCCUUCUUGAGUACUUCUGGGGUUGCUGCACUACCAUCACUCAUGAUAUGCAGAAUGCUAAUGGGUUUAUGAAAAGAGUUUUUGCUCUUGCUCUUGCUCUAAGAUUUACAAUCACCAAGGGAAGACUUAGAGGCAAAUGAGCAAUGCAAGGUAAAACCUAUACCCAGCUAAAACUAUGUAGAAAACUACAUCUUGAACAACCAAGGAGCAAGAAGAGACUUGCUCCAUAUAUAUAGGCAAAGUGCAAGCUAAAGGAGAGCAUGCCCGUUUACCAAAAUGGGAGGCAACUUUUGGACUUUAGUCCUUGUCCAAACACAUAAAGUGAGAGGGCCAAGGGACAAACAAAAGGCUCCAAGAGAGUAAAGACAAACAUAACUCUCUCAUAUGAUAAUGGUCCAACAAGGAAGAGACAAAAGGUUUUGUGAAUGAAAGAGACACAACAAAACCUAUUCCUAUAUGAGGUCACAUAGGUCAGCUGAUAGCUUGGGCGGUGCAUCACAUGGCUUAGCAGCUGACUUGGUUUGUGUAUCACAAAACCAGCUGGACUAAAAAAGGAGCUGCCUAAAAGUGCUUUAGUCAUGUGCUCAUGGGUUGGAAGAACAACACAACCCUAGACUAACUUGGAGCUCAAGCACGAUGAAAAAUGUUUUGCUAAAAGAGAUUUGAAAUUCAAAUACUUGAAAAGCUGAAGCAAAACCAUUUUAAAUCUGCACGAAGUCAGACUCAGAGAUUAGGAUAGAUACAACAGGGGUAUCCACCAAAUCUGGAUAGCAAGCAGAGCUGCCAUCCUGAAUGAAUGUGAUGCACAUGCAUGAACUACCUGAUGUACAUGAGAUAAAAACAAAGAGCCAGCUAAUAUAUUAGUUUGCGUAUCACAAACCUAGCUGGAGCCUCUAAGCUCUAGUCAUGUGGUCACGGGUUGGAAACACUACACAACCUUAGACUGACUUGAAGCACCAAGGCAACGACAAAUGUUUUGCUAAAGGGGAUUUGAAUUCAAACAGGGGAAUUCAAACUAAUGAUACACAAAUAGCAAAAGCAUUUAGACAUGCAUACAUAUAGACCCAAUAGAUUAGGACAGAUACACCAAGAGGUAUCAUCCGAUCUAGGAUGACAAGCAAAGCUGCCAUUCUCAGUGAAAAACAUGAGAUGCAUAUGCAUGAACUACCUGAUGCACAUGAGAUCUUGGCAUGUCUUCAUUCUUCACUUGUGAUAUCCUUACCAUCAGGAUAUGUAGAAUUCUCAAUGAAAAGCAUCAGAUGCAUAUGCACCAGUUACCUAGGCACAUGUGAUCUUGUCAAGUCUUCAUUCUUCACUUGUGAUAUCCUUACCAUCAGGAUAUAUAAAAUAGCUUGUGUCUUGUGUUUUGAUCAUAAAAGGGAUAGCCAAUAAUCUUUAUACCAACACAGUGUAGUAUCAUAAACAGCUAUGCCCGGAACAAACUUGAAUUUAAAAUUACCCUCCUCCUGCCCCUUCGUCGUCGUAAGGGAGGGGGAGGAGAGGAGAACAAUGAAGAUCCAUAUCAUACUGAUAUUCCUCAACUUUGCGGAAAAUGUUUGAUUCCAGAUCAUAACAACAGAUUGCUUCACGCGUCUUCAUGUAAAUGCGAUUCUUAGUGAUCGACACCGACCAGGCGCUUCCAUGAUUUGUCCUCACACCACACGGGCAAGGUGAAUAUUCCACCAUCAUCAUCACGACGGACAAGUUAAGACAAAAAUAAAUUAGUAACUUAAAUGUCAGUAACAAAUGACAUUUAAGUUACUAAUUUACAAUUAUAUCUAUUAAGGAUAUUCUUACAAUUAUACCAUUGCCAACUUGUUAGGUUACACUUUAAUGUUAACUUGCUACCCUAUGCCUUGUUUGGUUUAUGGAUUCAAAAGGUUGGAAGAGAAAGUUAUUCAUUUCCUUUGUUUAAUUAGCACAUUUGGAAAAGUUCUGAAGCACCGCUUCUCUCUCUCUCUAGGUUUCACGACAUAAGGUUCAGAGAUCCAGCGAGCAACGAGGGCGGCGACGAAGGAGAUCUUUGCGUCGACCCUUGCACAAUCCCUCUUCGGUGGGGAGGUAGGAAUAUAUCUUGGGGCGGACGACGGUGUCGAUAUCGAAGAGCGGUCUUGGGUGCGUGCUUUGAUCGGUGUGGAUCAAGUUUGAGAGGCGACGGUAGUGCAAAUCGGUGGAGAGGGUUUGUGAAGUCGUCGACGGUCAGGCUGUGCGAGGAGGCAGCGGUUUCAGCGGCUCGUGAUCGGAUCUGAGGCAGUACUUUAGAGGCGACCUCUACUGUUGUUGACUGGAGGACGAAGGAUUUGUCUCAUCUCUCCUCCCUGAAUUGCAGCGGUGUGGUGAUGGUGUUGAUGGUGCGAUGGCAUCGGGGACGCCCGCCGGAGGAGAUGUUGAGGCUUUUCUUCCUAGGGUUGGGCCUAGUCUGUCAUGGUCUUUUCGGGCCAAACGGACCAGGUCGAAUGCCUAGGGGUCUCUUAGAUCUGCUUCAAUUAAGUUAGAUGAUUAUGGGUUCCAAACUUUUGGAAUAAUAUGUUAGAAUUAGGGUCCCUAAUUAUUCCCGUCAUGUUCUAGUUUUGUAGUUGUGGUUUGAGUAGACUCAUGGUAGUUUCGGUGGGGUGUUUCAGAGCACCCUUGCAUGACAUACAUUCUCGUGCCCUUGCGGGUAUGUCAUGUUGUAAUUGUCAAUUAUUAUUUUUUGUUUAUUAAAGGCUUGACGUCCAUUCCAUAAAAAAAAAAUCUCACAUACCAUGGGAUUCAAUCUCUCUCAUAUUUUCCUAACAUUAAUUACAUCUUUCAAAUAUUAUUUUAAUAAAUGUUAUUACCAAAUUAUCCACAUAUUUUUUGAAUCUUGAAUAUUUUAUAUUUUAAUACUAAGGAUAUAAUUGGUAAAUUAAUGUUAUUUGCUUUUCUAUCAAUGCAUAAACCAAACAUUGGAAAGGAAAAUAAAAUACAUUUCCUAGUUACUUUCCUGACGUUUCCCAAACACAUGGUAUGAAAACUAGUGGGAAAUUUACUUUGCUAUGUACACAAGAAAGACUAAGGAAGUAAGGAACCAAUUUCUUUUCCAUCAACCAAACGAGGCCUAAGUUUCAUUUUAGCCAAUUUUCUACCUUAGGUUUUCGUAAUUAGCCAAUUUACUACAAUAAAUAUUAUUUUUACCAAUUUGCUACCCUAUGUAUUAGCCAAUUUACUACAUUUUUGUCAUUUUAAUUUGUCAAUUUCUUUAUCCAAACAUUAAUAAUUUUGAAAAUCUAAGGGUGAAAAUAGUCACUCUUGAAAUUUGGAUAAGUCAAUUGCCAAAAAGUUUUCAUCUUGAACGUCUAAAGUAUAACAAAUUUCAUGGAAGAGUAACAAGUUGUCUAAAAUAAAACCUUGGUUAGCAAAUUAGCUAAUUUGAAAAACACAUUGACUGAAAUAAAACUUACUGACACCAACAUGAAAGCUAAAGAGCUGAGGUACACUGUAGCAAUUAUGCCUAAAAUGAAAAUACAAAAUACGGUAGUCUUACCUCCCCGGCGGGAAAGCCUGUCAAAUAAAAGAGGAAAAGUGGCGCCACUCCGCUCAAAAAUUCAACAACCCCGCUCUUUCCUACAGCCACGUGUCCCUCACACCUCCCCCACCAAUAGAAACCCGCCUCUUCAUAUAAAUCCCCCACACUCCACAGUCCACACCACCUCUUCACACUUCUCUAACCGCACACUUCCCAAUGGCUUCAGAUUCCGGUACCCGCCGCGACGGCGUCGUUUCGCCUGCGAACAAGAACCCCCUCACCUUUCACCUCCAGAAGCUCGGCCUCGAGCUCACUUGCCCUCUCUGGUUCGUAAUCCCUUUCCUCCUCUCUCUGUCUUCGAUUCCAUCAGAAUCGAACAGAUCUUUGAUUUUCGGAGUCUGAAUCUUUGAUUUCCGUUGUUGAAUUGCAGCAUGGGGUUUUUCAACCGGCCGACAUUGCUGCCGUGCAAUCACAUCUUCUGCAAGUGCGUCUCUUUCUUAUUUGACCUAAUUUGAUUAAUCUGAUUCUCGAAGUUCUUAUCUUCUGUUUGGAUUUACCUGCAGCGGCUGUGUGCCUAAUCGGAACAAUUUCGGAGCAGAGUGUCCUCUGUGUAAUAUUCAAGUUCUUGGCGAAGGUAUGUGUGUUUUAGCCAUCAAUUAGGGUUUUGUGGUUGGAAAUGGUAAUUUUUCCCUAAAAGUGAAUUGAUUUGGGUUUGGAGUUGUUAUCUUGAUCUAAUUAGGUUUCUGUGGUGGGAAAUAGUAAUUUUACAUCGAGCCGGUUUCACAUGGAGUGAGUUUUAUCGUCAUAUGUGCAUAGUAUGAAGGGAUUCCUGGAAAUGGAGCCCCAUUUGAUUUUGAUAUAUAAUGAAAUUGAAAUGAUUGAUUGCUUUAGGGUGUAACAAUGAAUACAUAAGUAGUCAAGGUUAUUUUGAGAGUUUAGGUGAUAUUGUAGGAAUGUGUUUUCAGAAGGCAUUAUCUAGGACAGCUCUUUAUAUGGGUGAGCAAAAUGAGGAAGACAAAUUCUUUUUGAUGCAAAUGGGGAAGCCUGUUUUCGAAAUAGAGUUGUUACUUCAGAGUGUGCCUAGACUGUAUCUCUUGGGUUUGUGGUCUGAAAGCUUUAGGUCUGAAAUGAUAUAUGACCCUAAUGAAGCUUUAAAUGGUUAUUAUAUGUUUGGGCAGGGUUUGUGAUCAAACAGUGUUAGCCGUUAGGUCUUGUUUCAUGGCUGAUAUUCCUUAUUAGAUACCAAAAAAGUGUUUGGGGGAAACUUAAAUUAUCUCUCUUAUAAAAGGAAAAAGAAUAUAUAAUUCCUUUCUGAUGCAAUGAUUUUCUGGGAUGAUAGAUCUGAGGCAUGCGCCUUUUAUGGAAAGCAUAGUAGCAAUCUACAAAGGCAUGAAGGCCACGUACUGUACCAGCUCCUCCCCGCCUAUAUCUUCAGGUACAACAUCUCAAUAAACACACUUUGGAACUCCCCCACCCUCCCUGCUAAUGUUCAUACUUAAUCAGGGGCUAAUCAUUGAAGCUUUGAAUAUAUAUCAUUGCAGAUGUUAGAACAGAUUUGGCUCGCCCAGUUUCACAGGAUGUCAGUUUUACUGGGAAAACAACGACUAAAGAACCGUUUGACAAUUUCCAAGAGGGUACCAUUUUUUCAUCAAGGGGUAAUAACCGAGUUUGGGUUCCAUGUAGUCGGAAAGAUUCUGUGACAGUUGGAAUUGGCAAGAAUGAGAAAGUAGAUACCUGUAGCAUGCCGAUAGAUGGUAACAGUGAAGAAUUUGACUUGGGUACAGGACAUCAAUUUAAUGGUGAGGUAGAUCACAAGUCACCAUUACCAAGUUCUCAAAUAAGAUCUGUAACAAUGGAUGAGUGUAUGACUGCAGAAAGAGACAUGAAUCCUGUAGUGCAUUCGUUGCUGGAUAGUCCUCCUUCAUUUGGUGAUCCCAGAGGUUCAGAUAAUGAUAAUAGCUUUUACCAGCGCUCUGAGCAAGUAAGAAUUGUCUAGCUUCUGUAUUUCCUUUUCAUAAGUCAGUGCAAAUCAGCAUUAAUCCUUUGCAUCAUAUAUAGAAGUAAUGUUUUUGUCCAAAUGCUAUAAAAGUAUGAAAAUUUCAUCUUGACAGAUUCUUGAUAAAUUUAUGUUGGAAUUUGAAUGUGUGAGUCUUGAAAUCAUACUGUUUAUAUCCUUUUCAUGAUUUUAUUUUUCCUUUCAGAUUUCAGACAGUUCUUUGAUCAGGGGGUCAAUUAGGAAAAUUGAUGAUAGAACAGGGCAGAUGAGGCUGGAUAGUUCGGCAUCUGAUACUGAUGGUCAUUUGAGGGAACUCAAAAGACAAAAGAAACUGGACUAUGGACCAGUCUCAGGGUCUAAUUCUGAGCUGAAACUUGGAACAACUUCUAACGAGUCUUCCACAAUUAACACCAUUUGUGCCUUUUGCCAUUCUUCCACAAUCUCAGAGGUUAGUUUCUCUCAUACACACACACAUGCUAAUCUCAGUGUCUUUUUGUAUACAUGUCAAAAAGUUUAACUCACUAUGAUGAGUGAAAUCAUUCAGGUCACUGGGCCAAUGUUGCACUAUUCCAAGGGGAAAUUGGUGGAGGGAGAUGCGGCAACUGUUUCAGAUGUCAUACAUGUUCACAGGAUAUGCAUUAAUUGGUAUGUUCAAGCAGUAUUUGUGACGGUGUUUGUUUACAAUAGUUAUGAAUAGGGCUUUUGUUCAAUUUAAUAGUCUCACAAAUAUAAUGCUGGGUUUAUAAUAAAUAAUCUAAAAUGCUUCUUCAGCAGGGUUAUAAAUUAAAAUCCUAUUAUCAUUAUGAUCUUUUUUAUAUUGUAUGUUUUUCAGUUACUUUGUCAUGAUUUAUUAUUUCAAUUCAAUAUCAAUCAAAUAUGACAUGUAGCUAUAUAUUUUCAGAUAUGCAAGCCUGAUCUAAUUUUUAAUCUGUUAUGAAUUUUAGUUUCUAUUGGAUAUGCUUCAGUGUUUUCUUCUCCUAAAUGUAAAAUGGAUCCUUUUGAAAUAAGUUAAUUAUUUGGUUCUGCAUCCUUUUGACCUUGGAAGUCUAUAUACUAUGUUUCAUUUUAUUUGAAAGGGAAAAGAUGGACCAAUAUGUCCAAAUCUGGUUUGAGAAUAUUGGUUCAGGGUCAAUAAUUUAGUACUUUAGAAAGAUUGAUAUUUCUGGCUUACCUGAUUGCUUUUAAAAUUGUAUGCUACUAAAAAAAAUAUCAUGGAUUUGUCAUGGAUUUUGAACUGCAGGGCACCUCAAGUGUACUAUAAAGAUGAUACCAUAAAAAAUUUGAAGGCUGAAGUGACAAGGGGUGCAAAACUAAAAUGCACUAAAUGUGGGAUAAAGGGAGCAGCAUUGGGAUGCUAUGUAAAAUCCUGCCGAAGAAGCUACCAUGUUACCUGUGCAAUUGAAAUUUCUAAGUGUCGUUGGGAUUAUGUAUGUUACAUGCUUUAUAUGCUUUACUAUGUCGUUUUGCUAGUUUUAAGUCUCUCUUUGAGACUGAGCCCUUAAAGUAUAUUUUGUGUGUUUUGGCUUGUUACAGGAAAACUUUCUGCUGCUGUGUCCAGCACAUACGACAGAUAGAUUUCCCAAUGAGAAGUUGAAUCGUAACAAGAACAAGUAUGACAUCAUUAUCUCAGCAGUGUUUACUGUUUAGUUGAGCAGAUAUUUUUCUGUCUUGGUGCCACAAAAUGUUAAUUUUGUGAUUUUGACUGGUAGCUCUUCAAGCUAGUCUAUCUACUUACAACAUUAAGUCAACAAAAGGAAGAUGCUAGGAAAAUGUUUCUUUGCAUGCGGUUACUUUGUAGUCAGAUGGUAGUAGCUUGUCAAUGGUUAAUCUAAUUCCCUACUUUCUUUCAAUCUGCUCACAGGAAAUGUCAGCUCUCUGGUGGUACAGUAGCUUCAAAUGGAGUGAACAACUGGGUUUUAUGCCCUUCUGGUUUGUCUUCUGAAGAGAAGGUUAGUGCAAGAGAAUUUCUCUAUUUCUAAAUCACUUGGUUCUGUGUUAAUAGAAAUUAUGGGAAGGACUUUGAGAUAUUCUCAAAGUUUGGUUGAGCUUCUUUGCUUAAAUAAUGACCUUUUCUUUUCUUUCUCUUUUGAGGACCUUGUUGUGGUACAAAUACUAGAUGACUUUCAGUGUCUAAAUUUAUAUGCAUGACAGAAACUUGAAUAUAAUGAUAUUAUAAGAGUCUUAAUUGGUUGUGCUUAACUGCAAGGCUUGCAUACACUUGAAUAGAUUGUUAAGCUCCUUGAUUUCAGGCCUAGAAGUACUCGAUCUGUCAGUCUAAUUUGCAUAUAGUGUUUUCAAUGCCAUGUUUUAGCUCAUAACCUAAAAAUUUUCCUUGCUUUAUUAGAAACCUAAUUUAAGUUUCUUAUUGGUCUGAAUUAUAUAAGUUUUCUAAAUGAUGCAGAUUCUUCUGAUCAACUUUGCUGAGAUGAACUGUGCAACUUUGUCAAAGAGCUGGACACCUGAUGUUACCCAUGUGAUUGCUGCCCUUGAUGGGGAUGGUGCAUAUGUCCGGACGUUUAAAAUUUUCAUGGCGAUUUUGGCAGGAAAAUGGAUUGUGACAAUCGACUGUAAGUGAUGCAUAGAUAUUCUACCUUGUUGCUUCAGUACAUUUUUCUGUGGACUAUUGUUUUGAUUAAAUUACUUGUGAAUUUGUUUGAGCUGGAUACCGACAGGAUUUAUGUGUAAUUCUUUGCUCCUUAGUUUAGUAUAGAGACUUUAUAUGUUGGCAAACCUUAUUAAUGAUUCUUCCAAUUAAGGUAUCUUCCCCUUAAUUCUUGUCUUUGAGUACGCCUCUUAAAUUAGUAUGUGGAUUCUAAGGGUGACUGUAUUCUAGCCUUUUCUUGCUUAUUUGUUGGAGAAAUGCAUGUAUGGUACUACUAUUCAGAGCUAAAUUGUGCAUAUUGAUGUACAAUCCUCAGGAUUACGAAACAAAUACGCAUGCAUUCUGGUAAAACAAUUUUACUUUAGAAAGUAAAAUCUCCUUAAUUUGCAGAAUUCUUGUCAUGCAUUUCUUCUCACGGCAAUCUUAAUAUUCUCUUUUUAGCAAGUAACCUGGCUUCUUUUUAUCCUUGGUGUUUAAUUACACUGCAAAUGGGUGCAGGGGUAAAAGCAUGCAUGGAAACCAAGCAUCAUGUGGAUGAAGAACCUUAUGAAGUUAAUCUUGAUAACUAUGGGUGUCGCAGUGGCGCGAAAGCUGGCAGGCUUAGGGCACUAAGCAAUGUAAGUUCCCCUAAUGAAUACCUUGUUCAUCUGCAAAUAGGAACUCAUAUAACUAUGGGCAUUAACCGAUUUAACUUCCCUCUAAUUGGAUCAUUUUCCUUUGCAGGAUCUGAAGCUCUUCAAUGGUUUGAAUUUCUAUUUUGCUGGUGAUUUUAUACUGGAGAGGAUGGAAGACUACAAAGAAUUGGUCCUAGCUGCAGGAGGUACUGUUUUCAACAGUAAGGAAGAACUGCUGGAAGCAAGUUGUCAUGAAACGGGUGCUGCUAGGACACUGGUUGUGUACAACCUUGAUCCCCCACCAGGAUGCAAGUUGGGGGAAGAAGUUUCAAUACUUUGGCAAAGGUCUAAUGAGGCACAAGAUAUAGCUGCAAAAAUCGGAGGCGAGUACGUCUUUCACACAUGGUUGUUGGAGUCAAUUGCGAGAUAUGAGUUGCAGCCAAUUGUCUGUUGACAAAAUGCCAUGCAGUCACUGUUUGUUUUCUGAAGUACAGAACAACCAUCCAGUAAAGAUAGGUUGAAGAUGGUAAUCUGUAUCCUUUUGUAUGCUUCAUUAGAUCCAUACUACCUGUGAUGUCAUAUUUUGUAUCAUCACUCGUUUUGUUGUAAUUGUAGUCGAUAAAUUUCAAUUCUAUUGAGCAUCUUUGACAGUUCUAUAUUGUUCAUAGUUCUGUAUAUUCUGAAAUUCACUUCCAAGGUCUCAAAUUCAUACUAAAAUAUUACUGAUAGAAAUGCGAAUAUACAAUACAGUGAUAGACUGAGCGAAACCUAAUUCAUUCUACAUUAUGAAUUCCUUAGCGUCUCAGUACCUUUGGAGCUUAAAGUAGCAUACAGGGGAAGCAGUUAUCAGCUUAUAAGCAAAGGCGAAGUUUUUGACUGUACUGUGCCAUCCAGAGCUGAAAUGCUUUUGUUUGGCAAAGUUUCCAUGGCAAAUUCUCCCUCGGACCGCCUUAAAUCUGCAUUGUAAACAUAGUACUUCGCAACCACGAGAAAGAAGAGGAAGUUGAGAAAGGUCAAGACAGCCAAAAACAGAUAAUAGUAAUCGAAAUGAGAGGUGUUUAGGUUAUCCAAAAUCCAACCCUUGGGUGUAUGUUUCUUGGUGAAGUUGGAAACUGUUGAUAGAAUAAAACUACUGAGGAAGCUCCCAAUUCCCAAGCUAGUAGUGAAAUAUGAGGUCCCCAAGCUUUUCAUGCCCUCUGGUGCUUGAUCAUAGAAGAAUUCAAUCUUGGCUGUUUCCACAAAGGAAUCAGCUAUACCCAUCAAAGCAAACUGAGGUAAGAGAAUGAAAAUUGUGAGUGGAACUAUGUCCUUUUUGCCAAAGAGGUGUUUUUCUUGUAUAACACUCAACCUCUUCCUUUCAGCCAAGCAAGCCGUGAUCAUGGUAAUGGUGUGCAAAACAAGACCAAUGCCCAGUCUCUGCAGCAGUGUGAUCCCUCUUGGGUUUUUGGUGUAUUUCCGGACUGCUGGAACGAAGUAGCGGUCAUAGAGCACAAGGCUUAUCAGCAUGAAGAUUGUUACAAAUGCUGAGAGACAUGCCGGAGGGAUUUCAAAAUCAGGACCCAUCUUUCUGUUUAGUGUUGUGCCUUGCUUGACAAAAAGAGUUCCUAUUUGAGCUAACAUGGUGCUUGGUAUGAAUGAUGCAAUAAGAACCGGAACCAUUUUGACCAUUUGCUUGGUUUGUUCAACUUGUGUCACUGGGCAUAGCAUCCAUGGUAAGGUUGGUCCACUCUUUACUGCUGCUUUGUCUAGGAAUCUGCAAGCAAUGCAGAGUUAGUUGUGAUUUUAGAAUGCUACAAAACAGUGAAACAUUUGAUCGAUCCACAAUUCGACAUUCAGAUAGACUACAUUGUCAGUCACAUCUCUACUAUAGGUCUAUAGGUGAAAUUUACAUCUACGGUUUAGGGUUUUACCUUAAGGAAGAGGAGUGGUCAAUUCUGUAUUUACCAGGUUUUGAGUACUCUUCCAAGCUUAGCUCAUGAAGCUCUUUUAGGUCAUCUGGGACAGUUACCCUCCACUUCCUUAUAGCAGCCACAAGCACAUGAGCUAUUCUGCUGAAAGGACUCUCUGAUGGCAAUUUGUGCCUAUAAAACUUGGUGCCAAAUAAGAAAACCAUGACAGAGAUUGCAAGACCAACUGUUGGAAGACCAUAGCCAAGGGUCCAGCCAACUCUGUCUUGUAUGUAAACCAAGAAUGUGUUUGAGAAAAGGGUGCCAAAGAAUAUGCUGAACAUCCACCAGUUGAAGAAGGAGAGCUUUUGAAUUCUCUCUUUAGGCUCAUAAUCAUCAAAUUGGUCAGCACCCAUGGUUGAUAUGUUAGGCUUGGUGCCUCCAGUUCCAACUGCGAUUAUGUACAAGGCACAGUAGAAUAUACCUACUUGGAACGAUGAGGCUCUUUUGUCACAAUCUUCAAGUUUAACUCCACUGCCGCAUGAUGGUGGUCUUAGGGCGUGUAAUGAAACCGCUAGGGUUAAUAAAGACAUCCCCUAAUAAAUGGUACAAAAGAGCAACACCAUCACUUGAGAGCAGUUACUUGAAGUAAGAAGUGCAUGAAUCAUGUCAUAUCUUUUCUAUAUAUGAAUUAGCGCAUGUAUGAUCAAACUACCAGUAUAGUUCAGCAUGCUAAAGUUCAGCGAAAAAAUUGAAACUUCGAAAGGUAUCCAUGCCAGGCUAAAGUUUAGCAAUCUUCAGACUUUCACUAGUUCUGAUAGUAUUGCAUCCACCGAAGAUUUAACAUGGAUGCCUUCCGAAGUUUCAAGUUUUUCAACAUCCCUCUCUUUGAUCCAAUUUUUACUUCGACCUCGUUGAUACUAGCUUCUUCAGAGUCAGGUUGGGGGUUGUUGUCAAUGGAGGUAACUCAGGUAAGGUUUUAAUACGAAUGGAUAAAGUGGAAAAAACGACUGGAGUUAAAAGUAAAGAAGAGAGCACUAAUGUCAAAGUUGGUGAAAAUCAGGUCAAGACUGGUUAUUUUCAAUCGUGAAGAAUGAAAGGGAGCUAACAACCUAACAGAGACUAAGUUAUCAAACCAUGAACCUUACCAUCUAAACUGAUUUUCAUCAAAAGAGCAAAAGUGAAAGCUAUAGCUUGAGUUACGAAGGGAGUUGCUAAAUUUCAGCAUAUCCGAAAGCUACAUUCUUCAGUGUGAAAAACUAAGCUCAGACCUUUCAACAACCAAGCAUACUACUGACGUACAACCAACUUUUUUUCUUGUUCUUCUAGUUCUAGCUAGCUACGAAAGUUCACUUGGGAAAAAAGAUCCUUAGGUUCAUUCUUGUCCAUUAUACUCCCUAAAAGUAAAAAACUACGUUCUGCAUGGGAUUAACCAUUUAUUUGAUUCUGAACAUGAGGGUUUUAAAGUAGUGAUUUUCUACAACAAUUAACGAUAACAUAUAUGGUCGAAAAUGAAGCCACAAAUGUGAAGUACCACAAGAUAUAUGGCGGAAGCAAUGACAAAAGUCCAGUAUCGGCCAAGAUGAGCAUCUGCAAUAUAAGCACCCAGAAGGGGUGCCAUCCACACCGUCCCAACCCAGUUUGUGACAUUGUUUGAAGAUGUCACUGUGCCUUCAUGCAGCUUCGUCGUCAGAUACACCACCAGAUUUGACGCGAUUCCGUAGUACGCCAUCCUCUCAAACACUUCAUACCCUGUGCAUAACAAGAACUCAUACACAUGCAUGUUAAUUGAAGCCUCUGAGGAAUUUGAGCCAAAAUCAUAUAUUUGUGUAUAUAUAUUGAUUUGAUGAUGACAACGUUGUCCAUACCUACGAUGAAGGAACAAGCUGUCCAUCUGCCAGUGUUUGAUCUCAGAACAGGUCUGCCUUUGAGAUCCACAGUCCCAUCUUGCGUCUGAUCAUCUCUUCCAUAUGCAGAGCCUUUCUCUUCUACCUUUGCCAUGUCAAUGUGUAUGAAAUGAAUAAUACUACUUGCUAGGGAUGACUUGGAAGUUGAAGUUCAUGUGAGCACCACAUAUGGUGUUUUAUAAGUGAUUAACCAAGAAGUUUUCAACUUAAAGUUUCCUCUCGCUUUCUUGCUCACCUGCUUUCUAGCUAGUUUUCUUUUGUUGCUAAAUAGUACGUGCUUCCGUACCCUAAAAACCGUGAUACAUGAGAAAGCUAAUCACGCUCUUUUUAUACGCAACGUUUUGGAGUUAGCUAAAACGUUUUGGAGUUAGCUACUUGGUUUCGUCGGUCAUACGAAACUAACUAAGCAGCAACUAAGCGAGAAUCAUCACACAAUGUGAACAAAUGCAAAGAACGACAAAAUUAGGCCGAAUAUGUAUAUAUAAUUACGAAUUUACUUGAUACUAUUCGUACAAAUUAUAACAUGAUCUUUUUAGAUAAGGAUUUUCUGUUUGUUUUAAUAAGUCUGGAAAACAUAUAUAGAAGAUAAUUUGAAAGUAACUAAUUCAUCUAGAGGGGUGCAAUGCACUGUUUGUUGUCUAAAUGUGCAUGCGCGGAUUGGCUUUUGGGCCUAAAAAGCUAAUACGAUCAAUCGGAGAAGAGGGUGUCAAAGCCUCUAGGACUCCCAGCAGAAUUUUAUUUUUCUCUAAUUACAUAAUAGCUAGCUAGCGGCCGGACUCUAUACUACAACAUACUUAAUUUCUUAUAUACAUACAUACCUAUGCUUACGCCAUAUUUAGGCAAUGCCUAUGUGAUAAUGCCGACCUUGAGCUUGAAUCGUCAUAGUAUCUUCUAAUUUUUCCUGCUUCUGAAUCAAUCGACAUUGAUAAUCAUUCAAAAAAAAAAAACAUUGAUAAUCAUUCAACAAACUGAUGAGCUAGCAGUGAUAGGGAGUGAUGACACAUAUGCUAAAACAAGCCAAAUGAGCCAUGAAACUACAAACUACAAAUUAUCGAAGGAUUUGUUCCUCUCUCUUGGCUCAAGACAUCCUCCUUUUUUUUGUCAAUGUCAUUGUUUAAUUGUUUACUCUUGAAUAUUAUGCCAAGCUUGAUAUAUAAUACUCCACACAAAUUAUACUAUGAUACGAGAGUCAUGAAAACAAGACGAAAAAAAAAAAUAAUCACCUUAAGUCGCCACUUGUCUCUAUCGAUCUAACCUCAUGAUGUUUACUGCUAGCUAGCUACUGUUUUGUUUUGCAUGCAAAUUAACAUUAUAUAUUAGGUUUUUUGUUUUGUUUUUUGUUUUUAAUUAAAUGAGGAUUAGACGAUAUUAGCUCAUCUGCAACGGCCGAUCUGGGGCGACAAGCGCCCUCCCACAAUCCCUAAAGAAACGGGGGCCAUCGCCCGUCCCUCCAUUUAUAUUUAUUAAAGAAAAAUAGAAAAAACAAGAAAGUACAAAAGGAAGGGAAGGGAGACCAAAUUAAAACCUAUAUAUUAGUUAAUUUUGCGUGAAAACACUAUAUAUUAGUUUUUUUUUUAAUUAAAAUAGAGGAUUAGACGAUAUUAGUUCCUCUGCAAAGGCCGAUUUGGGGCAACAAACACCCUCCCACAAUCUCGAAAGAAAGGGAGCCAUCACAUCUGAGAACUCAUCGCCUGUCCCUCCAUUUAUAUUUAUUAAAGAAAAAAUAGAAAAAACAAGUAUAAAAGGAAGGGAAGGGGGACCAAACCAAAACCUAUAUAUUAGUUAAUUUCAUAGGUAUCUAAGUUAGCCGGUUAUGAAUAUAGAAAUUUCCAAAAACUGUUGAAUCGUGUUUCCAGUGUAUUCUAUAUCAACUCGGAUGAUCCUAAAACAAAAAUACAAAUAAGUAAGCGCAAUUUGAUAAAACAAAAGUUAGUUAUGUACGUAUUGGUGACAUUGGCAAAUUAAGGCUUAAAGUCCAAGGAAAACGACCAUAGUUUGUCCAGCAGAAAGCAUCGACUUUCCACCAGAUGAUGAAGACGUUAAUAUUAAUAAUCAGCUCAUUAGGGUUUAGGGGUACUGAACCCCAAUAUAUACUUGAUUGGUUCAAAACUUGCUGUCUCGAAGAUGGGGACAACAGCACAAAGCAUACGAUAGCGAAUAAGCUCAUGUUACACAAGUUCUCAAGGCAUCUUCACAAUGAUAUAUUUACUAAUUCAUUGUUUGCAUAUAUAGGAUUUGUAGGUGGGUACAUAUAUACGAAUUUCAUAUGAUUUGACUUUUGAGUAAAUCGUGAGUUCGUGACUCAAAAUAAGUGAUAUAUGGAAGGUUUCAUCUUGCAUUUAUCAUGCAUGCAUGAAAAACAUUAAUUUUUGAACCCUAGGGUUUCAUACUUUCAUAUGCAUUUUUACACCAUGAAAAUCUUGAUCAGAACAGAGCGACUUAAUUUCUAGCCAAGUAGGGGCAGGCAUAUAUAUAGAAGACUAAAUGUUAUCAGCUCAUAAGUAGACUAUUUGAGGCAUCCUUAUAAGCUUGAGCUGAAUUUUUGCGAGGCAAAGUUUCCACGGCAAAGUCUCCCGUAGAUUCCGUCGUGUCUGCAUUAUAAACAUAGUACUUGGAAAUCACGAGAAAGAAGAGAAAGUUGAGAAAGCUCAAGCAGGCCAAGAACAGAUAGUAGUAGUCUAGAUGUGAGAGGUUUAGGUUAUCCAAAAUCCAACCCCUUUUGGCAUGUUUCUGUUAAGAAUAAGGACUAGAUGAUUCGAUGAUAUCUUGUAUUUAAUAGAGAUUAGCUGUCAAUUGUGAUUUCUUUCCUAGAAUAGUUCCUACAAGUUAGGAUCAUCGUUGUAGCUUCUGUAUAUAUUGGCAUAGCCAUUGAUUGAAUGAUAUACACAAUAUUCAGACUCUUCUCUAUUCUUUUAUGGUACCAGAGCAGCGUUCUUGAGACCUUGAUAUUUCACUCAAACAAUCCUCAUGGCUGGCGAUGAUGAAUCAAAGUCCCCCGAAAUUGUGAAGGGAUCAGAAACUUCCAAAGCUGCAGCACCAUGGGAGAAACUCUAAAUCACCCGCUCUUUCUCCACCAUUCAGACCAACCCGGAGCUAUGUUAGGUUUCUGAACCUCUGGCGGAGGACAACUACUCAACCUGGGCAUCGUCGAUGAUGAUGGCCCUCCAUAUCAAGAACAAGACAGGAUUUGUUGAUGGAACCCUAAAAAGGCCAACUAUCAACGCAGAAGAACGCCUUCAAUGGGACAGAUGCAAUACUCUUGUCAAAACUUGGCUGAUCUCUGCUAUGUCAAAGAACAUGUCCAAAUCUGUAAUCCAUUGCAAGGAGGCUAGAGGUAUGUGGCUAGAACUAGAGGAUCGUUUUAAUCAAACAAAUUCUGCUGCCUUGUUUCACAUAGAAAGCAGUAUACACAAGUGUGAACAGGGAAGCAAUUCGGUCACCACCUUCUACACAAACCUGAAAGGGAUGUGGGAUGAAAAAGAUGCCUUAUGCUCUUUUCCUUCCUGCACCUGUGAAGCAGCUGCUGAGAUUAAGACAUUCAUGGAAACACAAAAGACAAUGAAGUUUCUCAUGGGUUUGAAUGAGAGUUUCGAACAAACCCGUAGCAAUAUAAUUGGAAUGGAUCCUUUGCCAAGCUUGAGCAAGACAUAUGCCAUUGUACUUCGACAGGAAAAGCAAUCGGAAGUUGCAGCAGACAAGGCUACUGCAAUGCCAGAAUCUGCUGCCUUCUCCUUCAAGGGUUUAGGCCGAGAGACAAGUCUCACAGAGAAGGAAGCUGCUGACACCUCCGUCAAUUCUGUUCGGAGAGGAAAUCGAGAUGUCCGUCGCCCAGAAGGAGGAGGCAGGUACUGUGAGAAGUGUGAUAUGACUAAUCACAGUACGAAAUAUUGCAGAGCUCACAUCACAUGUUCUUACUGUGGUAUGAAGGGGCACUCUCAACCAUAUUGUCGAAAAAGAAAGAAUGACAUUACAAAUGGAGGGUUACAGCAGCCUAAAGCGAAUCAUGUUGGUACACAGAAUGGCGUCACAGAAGGGCAAAGCGAUGGUUUUCCUUUCUCAAAACAGGAAUGUCAACUUUUACUUAACAAGCUCAUAGCCAAAUCACAAUCAACUUCUGCCAAUUUGGUCGGUAAUAUUCAAAACUAUGAAGAAUUAUCGGGUAAAGUCCAUCACCUCUCACAAAAUAGCAAUGAGCCUUUCUGGAUUUUAGAUAGUGGUGCCACUGAUCACAUUGUUUGUAGUCCUAAUCUCCUCUCUUCUUAUAAAACAAUUCCUCAUCGUUGGGUCAAACUUCCUGAUGGCACUUCAGUGCGUGUUACACACAUAGGCACUGUCGCUUUUUUCUCCUCAUUUUAUCCUCCAUAAUGUGUUAUGUGUGCCACAAUUUUAUCUCAAUCUCAUAUCAGUAAGCAAACUAGGAUUUGAUUCCCUAUAUGUCACUCUCUUUCUAAGGCAAUUUUGUUUCAUACAGGACCUACGAUCGGGGAGGAUGAUUGGGACAGGAACUGAGCAGGAGGGACUAUACCGCCUCAAUUUCCCAGGGAAAGCAACAUGCAAUGCAGUCCACAUUAAUUCUGAUACUUUGUGGCAUCAACGUCUUGGUCAUCCCUCGCCUAAAGCAUCUUCUUUAUUUCCUUUUCUUUCGAAUAAGUCUUGCGAUACAAACUCAUGUUCUGUUUGUCCUCUUGCUAAGUUAACUCGCAAACCAUUUCCAUUAAGUGUUACUCGUAGUUCUUCCAGUUUUGAUUUGAUUCAUGUUGACAUUUGGGGUAGUUAUAAAGUUCCAACUUAUUCUGGUGCAAAAUAUUUUCUCACUAUUGUUGAUGAUUAUUCACGGAGCACUUGGGUUUAUUUGAUGCAACAUAAGUCUGAAGCACGACCUUUACUCAUCAACUUCAUCCUUUUUGUUGAAACACAAUUUUCCAAGCAUGUCAAGAUGGUUAGGAGUGACAAUGGUGUAGAGUUUAAAAUUCCCAAUUUUUAUUCCUCUCGAGGUAUCGUUCAUCAGACGAGUUGUAUCAACACACCACAACAAAAUGGUGUGGCUGAACGCAAACAUCGUCACUUGCUCAAUGUUGCUAGAGCACUUCUUUUUCAAGCACAUUUGACGAAACCUUUUUGGGGGGAUGCUAUCUUAACCGCCACCUACUUAAUUAAUCGAACUCCGACUCCUAACCUUCAAGGACAAAGUCCAUUCGAAAAACUUUUUGGUCAUCAACCUAGCUAUUCUCAUCUUAAAGUUUUUGGAUGUCAAUGCUUUGUGUCAACGCACCCAUCUCGUCCAUCCAAAUUUGAUCCCAGAUCUGUCGAGUGUAUCUUCCUCGGAUAUCCAAAUGGAAAGAAAGGAUAUAAAGUGUAUAACUUAGUCACCAAGCAGAUUCUAUAUUCAAGAGACGUUGAUUUUCUUGAAGAUGUGUUUCCAUAUCAACACAGAGUGGAGAAGUCUACGCAAAACUCUGAUUCCCUACCUUAUCCAAUUGUUUCAAAAUCCCCACUUUUUGACCUUGAGCCCCAUCCUACAAUCUCUCCAGAAUCUUUUCCUACACUUACUCUAAACAAUUCCAAUUCCACCACCUUACCUCAUUCUUCCGCUGAUGACUCAUUGAAUCCCAUCACCACUAAUUCUCUAUCUUUUUCAUCUCCUCCAUCUUCUCUAACUUUCCCCUCCAACUCACCGUCUACUAUUCCUCUUGAAACGGAGCCCACUCAUUCUUCUCUUGAAACACAACACACUCAUUCAUCUCCAACUGAAGUCCAGAACCCACGUUCUCCUCCUCAACCACCAAUCCGACGUUCUACUCGCACCACAAAGAUUCCUACGGCACUGCAUGACUUUCAUAUUGAGGCGGCCCUGCCAUCUCGUUCAGUCCCCUCAUCCUCUUCGGCCGAGGUCGUCAAUCCUGGUAUGGCUCAUAGUCUCUCUAAUGUUCUCUCUUAUACCCAUCUCUCUAAUCCUCAUCGAGUCUUUACUGCUAACAUUAGUUUGCACAGAGAACCUUCAUCCUUCUCACAAGCAGUAAAAGACCCCAAGUGGAGAGAGGCGAUGCGACUAGAGAUUGAAGCCUUGCAGUCCAACAAAACCUGGAGUUUGGUGGCUCCUCCGGCACACAAACGACCCAUUGGAUGUAAGUGGGUGUACAAGAUCAAGCUCAAUCUAGAUGGCACUAUUGAGCGUUACAAAGCACGCUUAGUGGCCAAGGGAUAUAGCCAAAUUGAGGGACUUGAUUACAGAGAGACGUUCGCUCCUGUUGCCAAACUCACAACAGUCCGUGUCUUAUUAAGCUUGGCUGCACAGCAAAAUUGGCAUCUCCAUCAGUUAGACGUCAACAAUGCCUUCCUCAAUGGUGAUCUUCAUGAGGAUGUUUAUAUGCAAUUGCCACCCGGAUUCGAACGAAAGGGGGAGCAACAUGUUGUCUGUAAGUUACAUAAAUCGUUAUAUGGCCUAAAACAAGCCUCCAGGCAAUGGUUUUUGAAGCUAUCGGCCGCUCUCAAGGCAGCCGGAUUCCGACAAUCAUGGUCCGACUAUUCUUUGUUCGUUCGAAAUCAUCAUGGCACCUUCACUGCUCUUUUAGUCUACGUGGAUGAUGUGAUUCUCGCCGGGAAUAGCUUAGAUGACAUCACAAGAACUAAAGCCUUCUUGUCAAGCCGAUUCAAGUUGAAGGAUAUGGGAAAAUUAAAGUAUUUUCUUGGAUUAGAGGUGGCACGGUCAAAACAAGGUAUUGCAUUAAGCCAGCGUAAAUACGCACUUGAAAUUUUGGAGGAUGCAGGAUUUUUGGGAGCCAAGCCUUCACGGUUCCCUGUUGAGCAGAAUAUAUGUCUUACGCAAAGUGAUGGAAAAUUGCUGCAUGAUGCGUCAAGAUACAGAAGACUAGUUGGGCGCCUCAUCUACCUUACCAUCACAAGGCCUGACCUUGUAUAUGCAGUACAUACUCUUAGUCAGUUUAUGGACAAACCGAGAGAGCCUCACUUGGAGGCAGCUUAUCAGGUAUUGAGAUACUUGAAACAGACUCCAGGACAAUGUAUCCUCCUACCUUCUAGUGGAUCUUUAGAGCUAACGGCAUAUUGUGAUGCGGAUUGGGCAAGGUGUAAGGAUACGAGAAGAUCAACUACGGGAUAUUGUAUCUUUCUUGGAAAUGCUCCAAUUUCAUGGAAGACAAAGAAACAAAGCACGGUCUCUCGUUCAAGUGCUGAGGCUGAGUAUCGCUCCAUGGCAACAACUUGCUGUGAGGUAACAUGGUUGUUAUAUAUUUUACGUGAUUUGAAUGUUAGACAAGUACGACCAGUGAAUUUAUAUUGUGAUAACAAGGCGGCAAUUCACAUAGCUUCUAAUCCUGUGUUUCAUGAGAGAACAAAGCAUAUCGAGAUUGAUUGUCAUGUGGUGAGGGAAAAAGUGCAAAGGGGAAUGAUAAAGACACAGUAUGUUAAGACGCAGGAACAGCCGGCAGACAUCUUCACGAAGCCUCUGAGCUCGAAUCAAUUUGCAAUGUUGUUAAGCAAGUUGGGAGUGAUCAAUAUCCACUCCAACUUGAGGGGGAGUGUUAAGAAUAAGGACUAGAUGAUUCGAUGAUAUCUUGUAUUUAAUAGAGAUUAGCUGUCAAUUGUGAUUUCUUUCCUAGAAUAGUUCCUACAAGUUAGGAUCAUCGUUGUAGCUUCUGUAUAUAUUGGCAUAGCCAUUGAUUGAAUGAUAUACACAAUAUUCAGACUCUUCUCUAUUCUUUUAGUUUCUUUGUGAACUCUGCAACUGUUUUGAGAAGAAAACUACUGAGGAAACUCCCAAUUCCCAAGCUAGUAGUGAAGUACGAGGUCCCCAAGCUCUUCAUACCUUGUGGUGCUUGGUCAUAGAAAAACUCUAUCUUUGCGACUUCCACAAAGGUGUCAGCAAUCCCUGCCAAAGCAAAUUGAGGCAAGAGAAUGAAAAUUGUGAGAGGAACUGUGUCCCUUUUCCCAAACAGUUUAUGUUCUUGUAUAACACUCAGCCUUCGUCUUUCGGCGAAGAAGGCAGUCAUCAAGAUAAUGAUGUGCAACACUAGGCCAAUGCCUAGUCUCUGCAGCAGUGUGAUCCCUCUAGGGUUUUUCGUAUAUUUGCGCAUAACAGGAACAAAGUAGCGAUCGUAGAGCACAAGGCUUAUCAGCAUGAAUAUUGUUACAAAUGCUGAGAGACAUGCUGGAGGGAUAUCAAAAUGUGGUCCGAUGCUUCUAUCUAGUGUAGUUCCUUGUUUGACAAAGAGUGUUCCUCCUUGAGCUAACAUCAUGCUUGGUAAAAAUGUUGCAAUCAAAAUUGGAACCAUUUUGAUCAUUUGCUUGGUUUCUUCGACUUGGGUCACUGGACAUAGCAUCCAUGGUGUGGUCGGUCCACUCUUUACAGCUGCUUUGUCAAGAAACCUGCAGAUAAUUCAGUGCUAGUUUGAUUAGGGUAUAUAUUAGUAUCAAUUAUCAAAUAAUUUGUACAUGGAAAUCUCGGGUUAAAAUUUUAGGGUUCAUGGAAAUUUACCCUAAUGAAGUGGAGUGAUCAAUUCUGACUUUCUCUGAGUUUGUAUACUCCUCCAAGCUCAGCUCAUGAAGCUCCUUUGGGUCAUCUGGGAUAGGAACCCUCCAUUUUCUUAUAUAUGCCACAAGAACAUGAGCUAUCCUACUGAAGGGACUUCCUGAAGGCAAUUUGUGCCUAUAAAACUUGGUACCCGUCAAAAACACCAAAAUGGAAAACGCAAGGCCAAUUGUUGGAAGACCAUAGCCAAGUGCCCACCCCACAUUGUCUUGAAUGUAAAUCAAGAUGGUGUUUGAGAAGAGUGUGCCAAAGAAGAUGCUGAACAUCCACCAGUUGAAGAAGGAGAGUUUUUGGGUCUUUUCUUUAGGCUCAAACUCAUCAAACUGGUCGGCACCCAUGGUCGAGAUGUUUGGCUUGGUGCCACCAGUUCCGAGUGCAAUGAUGUACAGUCCACAGUAGAAUAUUGCCACUUGGAAUGGGGUGGCUCUUCUCUCACAAUCUUCAAGUUUAAUUCCGUGGUCGCAUGAUGGUGGUCUUAGGGCAGGGAGGGAAACUGCUAGCGUCAGUAGGGACAUUCCCUAAAGGAUAACAAAGCUCUUGGUCAUUACAAUUAUAGGGCACAGAUGUAUACGCAUGCAUUCCGUCCAAUUAGUCUAUUGUAUACGCAUACAAAGAAUAUCAUAGGUUGAUGUUGAUCUCACUAACAUAAGUCAUUAUGUUUCAAUAAGAUCCAUCCGCUAUUAAUUACUCAACACAGACCUCCAGAAAUUGCAUAAAACCAUUUCAACAUAUCGUAUAUAAAUCUCAUUCAUUAUACUUUAUAUAUCUCUAUUAAUAAAGCCAGAAGGUUUAUUUGACUUUGUUAACGGUUAAAUUUUUAAACUACCUAUAAUGCCUUUGAUUGAUUAAAACUUUAAAAUCUGUCUUCUAACAGAUGAAGGACAAAUUAGUAAUUGCAAAUGUUGGAAACAAGAAAAAAAAAGAAGCUUAAAACGUGGGAGGUGGGAGAGAAAUAAGACUUUGAACAUAAUUGUAAUAGUAAAAAAAAAUCACACACACACAUAGUGCGGGUCAAGAUGCUAAUGAUCGGAUUAAGCCAUUAAGGCUAAGCUUAUUUUCUAGAAUUUCGAUCCGGAUCCUAAAAUACUCGUGACAUGUUUUGAAUGAUUCUUUUAGUUAAAAGGUUUAACUUUAUAUAUUAAAUCUCUCUGAAGAAUAUGUCCGGUAUAUUAUAAAUUUACAAGUUUGAAACAAGCUAGUACUUUCAUAAAAACUUCCGUCUUAUAGUACAUUCUGAGAUCGAUAGUUAACACUCGAAGAGGUAACCUAAAGUUGUGGUGACGACAAUCAAACAUUGUAUAUAUACAGUUUCAUAACUUGUCUACAAUACUCUCAUCUUUUGCACACCAUUGGAGUGCGAUCGUUAAGAGGCAGCAAGUACUUUUCAUAUUUUUAUGUUAUAUGAACUACAAAAAGGCUUGUAAUGUAUGAUCAAACUACUAGCAUCUGGAUUAAUUAAGAACUCUUCGAUCGGAUGGGGGGUGGGUGGCCAACUUUGAAAGAACAAAUUAUGAAGGUCAUUACGAAGAUAAUUAGAUGCAGAAACCAUUUGCAUAGAUCAUUAUGUUAAAUAAAAUUAUAAUCUUAUAUGUGCAAUGCAAAUAAACACAUAAUUGUUUGACGAGAGUGAUGAUGAAUUAAUACCACAAGAUAUAUGGCGGAGGCAAUGACGAAAGUCCAGUAUCGGCCGAGAUGAGCAUCUGCAAUAUAUGCUCCCAAAAGGGGUGUCAUCCACACCGUCCCAACCCAGUUUGUGACAUUGUUUGAAGAUGUCACUGUGCCUUCAUGCAGCUUCGUCGUCAGAUACACCACCAGAUUUGACGCAAUUCCGUAAUAUGCCAUCCUCUCAAACACUUCAUACCCUACACAUCCAUGUAUACAUAUUACAUUGAACAUCAUAACAACAACAUCCUUUACGCGUGAGAUCGAAUAACUGAAAUGGAGUUGGAACUUGAGACAGAUCGGAGGAUAUCGAUGCGCAUUACGUACCUACAAUGAAGGAACAAGCUCUCCAUCUGCCAGUGUUUGAUCUGAAAACAGGUCUCCCUUGGAGGUCGACAGUCCCAUCUCGUGUGUAGUCCUCUGCUCCAUAUGCAGCUCCUUUCUCCUCGACCUUUUCCAUAUCACUAUUUCAAUUAGGAAACAGAUCGAAUAGUAUUUACUAUUAGCUACCUAGCUAGGGCGUUGAAACUCAUGUUAUCACCUGCCUGAUAAUGCUUUUUAUAAGGCGUCGGAAGUAAUACAGGUUAAGUUAGUUAACCAAGGACCAUAAAACUUUAACUCUAAUCUUGAAGACGUUCCUUUUGGUUUCUUGCUCACUUGCUUUUUAUGGAUGAUUUGAAGUAUGGGAAUAUUGGUAUCAUAAACACUUACGUCCAAGGUUUUUGUUCUAUUCGGUAAGCAUCAAGAAAAUAUCGCAUUUUUGAGGCUACGUAGUAGUACCCUUUAUUUUAUCUUAGAUCUAAGAUCCUUCAUACAAGAAUCAUUUCUGCUAAUUAACCCAAAAUUAACAAAAACAAAACUUGUAUGUUAAGCUAUUCAAUUAUAUUUCUCUACUCAAAUACGUACGUAGAGUUUACUUAUGGAAAUGAAGCUCGAACGAAUUCUCUCAAGACUGAUUUUUUUUAUUUUUAUUUUUUUUUAUCCUUUUGUGUUCUUAUACGAUCUUCGAUUAUCUUGCCAAACUAGCUAUGUCCAAAUGCCGAACUCUAGGUUCCCUUUUGGCCUUUUGUUAUCUACUAUUAUUUCUUGAUGAGUAGGGUUGAUAUAUACUAAUUAAUAAGUGAGCAGUGAUCGAGUGAAGUUGACACCUCUACUAUGACAAGCUAUGAACUAAAAUCAUUGAACGUCUCUUGGCUCAAGAGGUCGAUCUCCUUGUCAAUCUCAUAUAUUCUCUUGUCCGGAAAAGGAUUUUAAGCUUGAUACGCCUUUGCGCAGUGACAAACUUACAAUGACAAAGUUAAGAAGAAGGAAGAAAAGGUCAUCAUCACCUUUGCCCUUUGUAUAUACUUUCAUUACAAGAUUUAUAACUCGAAAGCUAGCUCUCAUGCUUUGUCACUGCGCAUACUAUUGGUGUUUGAUAUCUAUGGAAUAAUAUAUCUUAAAUUAUGGAAUCUAAUUAGUAUCCUUAACCCACAUUUGUGGAACUUAUAAGUUAGCCGGUCAUGGAUAUGUGAGUACCAAAAGAAAUAGAAAGCAGAAAGAUUCUGAGUGAAUUAUCAGCACCUUGAUUUUCUGUGCGGCAACAUAAGCUAUGUUAAGAUUAAUGAACAAAAUUUAAAAGGAAACAUACAAAUCUGCAGAACUAAUCUUUGGGUUCAGGGUAUAGAUUAAAAUGAAAAUAAUCUUUUGGUUCGUUAAGAAAAGAAAGUCAAGACAUGCACAGUGUUGGGUAGUUACCCUAACCUCAGUCAGAUUAUCACUUUUUUUUGUUUGGGAAAAUUUUAAGAAUAAUACAUGACAAAUGAUCGACUCUAAUUAAGAGUAAUAUAGUUUAUGUAAUAUCAAAUUGGUACAUGACGUAUUAAACCUGACCUAAUAUCAAUACAUAUCGUUAACUCUUCUGUUACCUUCAGAGUUUCUGUCAAAUUUGCAGGGGUAAAUCUGUCAAAUCUAGCUACUUCCCCAUCAAGCUCUAUCUGAAUCCAAACACUUCUCUGGAUUCCUUCUCUUCAAUUCAGCAGCAUAUGACUCAAGCAGGUUGUAUUGAUCUUCAUUAGCCCCUAGCCUUAUGCCAUCUUUUUGGCCAUUGCCUUAGCUCUAUAAGCUAGUUGGUAUCCAAUAUCCAUGCCAAAGUCUCUAUUGACAACAUUUUGGAUUCCUUCUCUUGACCAUUUUCCAUCAGCAAGAAAAACAUCAUUGUAUUCAACAGCCAAAAAUGGGGCAUUAUAAUGGUAGACUCUCUUUCCAAUGGAACUGCACUUGUGCUCAGACUUGAAUGUUCGGAUUUGAAGAGUUGGAUUAUCAUUACUAGGACUGCUUGCAUAUAUCCAAAAUGGACAAUCUGGAGAGGUUUUACAUCUGGCCAUGCCAACACCUGGUGCUUGGUGUUUCUAGGAAACCUGAGCUCCUUCUUGGUUAGCACUCCAUGUUUCCUAAUAGCAUGCUUCAAAACUGAAGAGUUAGGAAAAACCAUUCCAAGACAGAACCUUGGAUUCUUCAUAUCAGUCUUUCGAUUUAACUCAACCCACUUAGAGAACCUCUUCUUACCCUUUACUUUAAAAGGCCCUACAUCUUCACCCUCACUGUCAAAGUCAUGGACACUUUGAAAUCCAUCUGAAUCUGCAGCUUCUUCAUCACUUAUAUUGUCAUUAUAGCCUAUUUCUUCAAACUUGCUACUUCAUCAGGUGCACCAUCAAUAUUAGAAUAAAACUGAACUUCAUCAUCUUCUUCAUGCAACUCAAAGUCACUAUCGACUAUGGCAUCAUAGUCUGCAUCCUCUGAAUCAUCACUUUUCUCACUAUUCUCAAUUGUUUGGAUUGAGAGGGAAUUGAAGAGAAGGAAUCCAGGGACAAGUGUUUGGAUUUAGACAGAGUUUGAUGGGGAAGUACCUAUAUUUGACAGGUUUACCCCUGCAAAUUUGACAGAAAACUCUGAAGCUAACAGAGGAGUUAAUGAUAUGUAUUGAUAUUGGGUCAGGUUUAAUACGUCAUGUACCGAUUUGAUAUUACAUAAACUAUACUACCCUUAAUUAAGAGUCGAUCAUUUGUCGUGUAUCAUUCUUAAAAUUUUUUCUUUUUGUUUACUCGAUCAGUGGAACAAACCCGCUUUUUUACAUCGACGUUUGACGAACUACAUUAACCAAAGGAAACAAUGAGAAGAAAUAUCAUGUAUAGUUUCAAAUAAAAAACAAGUACUGAUGAUUCAAAGAUAUUAUGAAUAUGAAGAUACUACAAAUAUCGAAUGUGUGAGUGUGACAAGUGAUGUUGCAUUGUUUGUAGAUGACCAUUGUUCAGUAUCAGUUUCGGUUUCAGAUUGUGCUAAUUAGACUCGAACAAAAUUGCAUAUGCUUGGCACCAAUGAGUUUUCUAUUGAUUUGAGAGAGAAAAGAUAACUAUGGCGUCACAUUAUUUAUAUGAAAUAUGAAUUUUGAGUAAUAACUGACACUUUGAAUUUGAUAUGAGAAAUGUUUGUAAAUUUUUUUAGAUAGUUUCUUCUAUUUGAUGCUAUAAAUUUUCGCAUAUCAUCGUCCAGUUCAUACAUACCUCAGCUGAAGAUUGUUGAAUGAUGUUUCUUUGGUCUUUUUUAUGUCAUUUGAGAGAAUGUUGAAUGGGGUCAUGAGAGUUCAACGUACAUUAGAUUGAAAAUUACAAUAUUUUACUAACAACGUUUUCCUUCUUACACCAUACAAACCACAUAAACCCUCAUAUAUUCUUAAUCUUUUAUUCAUUAUCAAUCCCUAGAGUUUCUUCUUUAGCAUUCACAAUCUUCAAUGGUUUUUAUAUGAUGCAAACUUUUAUGCCGCAAAUAUAUAGCAUAUUAACACUUCUGGAGUCAGGAAACACCAACUUAGAGUUAAAAUAAGGUAAAUUAACGAUAUCCCAAGAAAGUUAGGGAUAUUGAUGCUAAAAGUGCAAAAACAACAUUCUAAGAUUUUAUGUUUAUGAAAUGUUAAAGUGAAACAAUAGUUUAAGUCUAAGCGGUUCAUAAUACUAGAUAGCUCAAACAUAAAUGAAAGUGAUCCUUGUUUGUUUUUUAAGAAGAAAGAAAGAAAUUAAGAAAGAUACAUUCUCAAAUUGGCUAAAGGUGCUUGCCUCUUGCUACAUAUACUGUAAUUGAAAGCGUUCCUUUAAUUUUCAACUCAAAAAGUUUGCGCUUGUAUCUGUUACAAAGAUGUCACUUUUCCAUUAGAAAGAAUUUUUGAUUGCAAGAGCCGUGAUGGCGCCUUGUUGUCUUUUUCUCGAUAACAAUACCAACCCUUUCAAACACCCUCAGAAUAAGCUGUGUUGAAGCUCAAAGUGUUUUCCUCACAAAUGAGGCUCACAAGUCGUUCACACUUAAUGAGAAACUUUAAGCAAUAAUGUUUCAAUUUGUAUACACACUCAAAUACUCAGAGUUCAGGAAAACCCAUACCUUUAUUACUUCUCACACUUCACAAAUGAUACUUAUGCUUGGAUCUCAACAACGAACUCCGAACUUCGAAGUUAUUCGAGUCUUAAGUACACACUACUUUUUCUAGUGAGCAGUAUACUCUCGGAAGUUGUGUCACAAGACCGACUGCCCGUAGGUACGUGUGUCACAAGACCACGAUUUUAGGGAGUGUAAAUUUCAUUACCUAUAAUUUUUUUUGUUGUGAGUAAUAAAUGCAGGAAAAAAAGUAAGAAAUUAAGUGAUUCAUUUGGAUUUUGAAAGUACUAUUUUCCCCCUAUUUUCCUUUUAAUAAGAAAAGUAUUUAAUUUCCUUUUGCUUCCUCAAAUGCAGGAAAUGAACAACUUUCAUUUCUUGACACUUACUUUCACUUUUCGCGAACCAAACGAUCUGACUGAAAAUUACGAGAGUUUAUAAGGGUUUCUUUAUGCAAUUACAACAAAAAUACAAUUGACUGAAAGUUAUCAUGAUCGAAUUAAUGAGAUAUAAUUUUAUUUCGAGUUCUUAACUAAGAUGCAAGGAAUUAAUUAAGAUACAUGCAAAAAGUUCUCAUCAGCUAAACCAGAUCUGUCUUCACAUCUUAGAUGAAGCUAGCCAUAUAUCUUUGGCAAAUCAAGCUUCCAUAGCUAUCUUGGCUUCCGAGAUGUCAACAUUAUAAGCAAAAAACUUUGCUACAACCAAAAAGAACAAGAAAUUAAGAAACACCAAACCAGCCACCAAUGCAUAGUAGUAGUCUAAGUGUGACGCAUUCAAAUUGUCCAAGACCCAACCUUUGUGGCUAUUUCUCUUAGUGACAUCAGAAACUGUUUUCAGAAGAACACUACUGAGGAAACUCCCAACUGCAUAGCUGCUAGUGUAGUGAUGUCCCCAUGCUCUUCAUGCCCUUGUGGUGCUUGGUCGUAGAAGAACUCUAUCUUUGCAACUUCCCCAAACGCAUCAGCCACACCCAUCAGAGCAAACUGAGGCAGCAGAAUGAAUAUUGUGAGUGGAACUUUCUCUCCUUUCCCAACAAUGCCGUUUUCCCUUGCGAUGAGAGGUCGUUUCUUCUCAACCGAGCAAGCAAGGACCAUGAUCACUAUCUGCAUCACAAACCCUAUUCCCAUUCUUUUGAGCAAUGUGAUUCCUAUAGGGUUUUGGGUGUAACGCCGGAGUGUUGGAACCAAGAAGCGGUCGUAGAUUGCGAGGGUUACCAGCAGGAAAAUGGUUAUGAAGGCUCCGAAAGAUGCAGGUGGGAUUUUGAAAUGGGGACCUAUGGAAUCAUCAAGAGUGGUGCCUUGCUUUAUGAAAAGUGUGUGGGAUUGAGUUAUGGUAAUGGAGGGUAUGAAUGUGGUGAGUAAAACUGGAAUCAUCUUCAUCAUUUGCUUGGUUUCUUCUACUUGGGUCACUGGACAAAGAGUCCAUGGUGUGCUUGGCCCAGGAGUUUUCACUGCAGCUCGGUCAAGGAUCGAACCUUAAUGAGGAGGUGUGGUCAAUUCUGUGUUUCAUUGCAUCUGCAGGUUCAUCCAAGCUUGGUUGAUCAUGAAGCUCUUUGGGGUCAUUUGGAAUAUUCACAUUCCAAGUACCUGAGCAACCCUUGUAAUAGGACUCCCUGAAGGCAUUUUGUGCCUGUAAAAUGGGGUGCCGACCAAGAAUUCUAACACUGAGAUCACAAGCCCUAUUGUUGGGAGUCCAUAGCCAAGUGACCAACCGACGUUGUCUUGUAUGUACACCAAGAAAGUGUAAGAAAAGUAGUUACCAAAAGCUAUGCAAAACAUCCACCAUUGAAGGAGGAGAGCUUCUGAUGCUUCUCCUUUGACUCAAAACUGUCAAAUUAAAUAAUUAAUUGGUCUGCCCCCAUGGUUGAGAUGCAGGAUUUUGUUCCACCAGUUCCAACUGCCAUCAUGUACAAUGCACAAUAGAAAAUCCCUACUUGGAAUGACGAAGCUCUUAAUAGUUCUCUUUAAUUUCAGGGCCGCAAGAUGGUGGUCUCAGGGCUGGCACUGAUACUGCUAGGGUUAGUAGUGACAUUCCCUCUGGAAUUGCAAUGCCAAUUUGAAUCAGUAAUUAUCAAAUUUUGGUUUUAUUUUAGAUUUUGUUCUUGCAGUUAUAUAUUCUGAAAGGGAAGGCAACAAGGAACUAAGUUUUUUACCAUUAUAUAUAUGGCUGAUGCAGAAACAAAGGUCCAAAAUAUCGGCCAAGAGCCCAAGAUAUGUAUCUGGCUAUCUGCAACAUAAGCACCUAAUAUCGGCGUGAGCCGUAUUGUACCAGUCAGUUGGUGACAUUGUUUGAAGACUUCACAGUGCCUUCAUGGAGCUUCCUUGCCAAAUACACCACUAGGUUUGCUGAAAUCCCAUGAUUUGCCAUCCUCUACUAAAUUNUUCACUACCUANAUAUAUAUAUAUAUAUAUAUAUAUAUAUAUAUNNNNNNNNNNNNNNNNNNNNACCUACAUAUAUAUAUAUAUAUAUAUAUAUAUAUAUAUAUGCAUACCAUUAACAAGUUUCUUUAUCUAGCUAGCUAGCUUCAUCAUUCUUCUUUAAGUUCUUCCAAAUAAGGGUACAUGCACCGAGGAAUAUUCAUUCAUCGAAUUGAAAAAAUUGGGAAGCUAAGUACUUAUCUACAAUGAAAGAGCAAGCUCUCCAUCUUCCAGUCUUUGAUCUUGUAAUCGGUCUACCUUUGAGGUCUGUAGUCCCAUCUUCUGUGUAAUCCAGUAGUCCAGCAUUUUCAAGGCCUUUCUCCUCUACUUUUGCCAUAAGGUUGGAGCUAGCUAGCUAUAGUUAGAGGCAAAAGACACUUGAAGUCUAGCUGGCUGGGAUAUUGAUAUGAUUAAUCUGCUGCAUAUAUAGAGACUUGUAAAAUGAUUUGGUCAGAUAAACAAAUUAUCUAAGGUUGCCCUUUCAUCUUCAAAAAAUUAUUCCAUGCAUGGCUGGUGAGAGGACUGACAAUGAAAAGUUUAAGAAAGGUUGCUGUGUUAGAGUUUAUAACUCUGGCGAACGUGAACGUGCAAUCACAAAUUCCAUUACUGAAAGGGAUAUGAAAUUAUGAAUCAUAUAUAUGAUCACUUUUAGAACGCAAUUCGAAAUCCUAUUUUCAUUUAUUUCUUUCUUAUCUCCUAAGUUUCACAUCCAGAUCGCAAUUCGAAUCUACAUUUCAAAGCAUGCUUAGCUGCAUAAUGUGACACGGUUUUACAGCAGAAGAAGAUAAUAACAGAAAAAAAUUGUCUCACUUGGAUGUCUAUUUGAGAAGCAAUGUUGAGUAGAUUGUACGUACGAUCACACUGCACAGGCUACGUUUGCAUAGUUGAUCGUUAUUCGACUAUAGAAGUAUAUUUAUGUUUUCCUGAUAACCAAUGAACAGAAGUUGUCACUACAUGUUACAGUAGUGCAGAAACCUUAAUCAAACCAGUGUAUGCAAUUGAGUCGGCAGAAAUAGGACUUUCCACCAAAAAGUUGGUGGGAAUACUCCAUUGGAAGAACGAAGACCUAUUCGAAAUCUAGUUAUAAUCAUUGUUGUAUGAAAAUAUCUCAUUGAGGAGCUUCUAAUGAGGAGCUGCUAAUGAGGACCUUAAAACCUAAAUGAAUCGUUUAAUUACAACAUCUAUUAUUCUAUUUAACUCUGGAGAGUGAAGUUGGAGGAAGUAUUAAUUUUUCCUUUCUCAUAUAUUGCGGUGUUUCUGUUUAACAAAAGAACGUUUGGUAACCCAACAAAUCCAACCAGUAUGGAAUCAACUCAAUGAAGUCAAAGCAGCAAUAAGAGAACAAUCAUCAUGAAAUGAAAUGAUUCGAAUAGUCAAUACACCACACUAGGAUCGAAAUGAGAGUGUGAAGUUGAAGUUUAUGUCACUAGCACUCAGACGAGGCUUCCAACUAUUCCACUAUGGCUUCGUCUUCCUGUGUGGGAAACUCGGUGGUUGUGGGUUCAGGCAAGCAUGUGGGUUGAUAUGGAGUUUGAGGGAAACAGCUAACUGAACCCUAGCUUCUCUUCUCCUUACAAAAUGCUUGAGCAUGUAUGGAAUAUCAAUGGUACAGGACUACGAUUUCACUUCACAGGACUGAAAGGGAUACCGAGGCCAUAGAUAUUAUCUGACUAGUAAUCAAUCUGAUGUCUACUGCUCCAGUGCCACACGCAUAUGCAACAUUUGAAGCAUAAAUGAAACAGUAGGGCUAUCAUUUUCACGCAUUUUGAAUCAAAACUGGGACCUUUCUAAAAUAUUCAUACCAAAACUAGUCGCAUACCAAGUCGCAUACAGUACAUAAUAACAAGUCGCAUACCAAAACUAUAGCUGCUAUAUCAACAUUCUGAACCCAAGAUGGCAAUAAAACGCACUGCACAACACCCUGAUGACCUCAAUAAUUAAGUUCAAGCAACAUAUACUACAUAUAAACUUUGCAUUCCAACUUUUCCAAUAUCAUAAUAUAGAGAAUCACUCAUGAACAGAGGAUGCAAAUCCAGAAGCCUUUAUAAAAAAUGUCAGGUCCAUUAGCUAUGCCCCAUAUCAGUGAUUAAGCACAAUAUAUCCACACAUAUUUCUAAGUGCCUCACUAGAUUCCUCUCUCUGUUCAAUAACCAGAAUUGCAACAUCCCAGUUGCUUGAAAGGAUAAAGCAUAAACUCCUAGCACUAGUCCAGAUAGCAACACCAAAUUGCUAGCACACUGCAACUAUCGCUAUUAACCAACAAUGAUGUAUACACAUUCAAUAAGCAUGAAGAACCCAGACAGUAACAUCAAACUUCUAGAACAGUAACUAAAUGACAUUAACGCAGCACCAACAAUAAUCUAUCAUCAUUAUCCACAAUGAUAACUUGAAUAGAAAUAUCUAGUGAAAACAACAGGGGGAAGGAGAAUAGAAUGAGGAUGAGGAUAGCUCCAAAAUUAGCAAGCACACACACAGUCUAAGCAAGCUAAUAUUAAAUUCUACAAUAUUAAAGAAAUUUUACUAAAAAUAAUACUGCUAGAAUGUAAUGGUCGUGAUUUCUAGCAGAACUACUUCUGCCAACUACCAUCAAGAAUCAACUGAUUGAACAAGCCCAAAUAUUCAUUGUCAACUCUUGUCAUGCAUAAGUUUAGACUGGGUAAAAGAUCAUGUGUAAGGAUUCCUGUGAAAGAAAUUCUAACUCUGUUGGAGCUCUGCUGUUAUGUCUGCCUGGACUGAGAACUACCAUAACCACCACUGGCUUGUGAAGGGUCUGCUCUCCAUGCUGCAUUAGAGUAUCCUGCAUUUCCAUUUGUGUCACCAUAUGCACUUCCCAUGUAGCCACCUCGUGUUCCUUGUUGCUCUCCACCACCACUGUUACCAGUUGGGGUGCUUCCACCACGCCCCCCAGAAGUCCCAUACACACCAGGAUAAGAACCGUAACUUCCUCCAUAAUUGCCAUACCCAUAACCUUGAUUUCCAUAACCAGAAACCGCACUAGGCGAUUGACCUCUGGGAGCAGAAGGAGCACUUCCACCUGGAGCAGCCCAGGAAGCUGCAGCCGCAUAGCCGCCUGAAGCACCAUAGCCAGAGGGGCUUUGGCUGCUCCAAGCAUUUUUCAAUGCACCGGGUGCCCCACUAACAUAACCAGCAGGGGAAUUUGGAUUUCCAUAUGAUCCUGCAGGACCACCAAAGCCAGAAGUGGCACUUCCAUAACCACCAACACCAUAACUUCCAUAACCUCCAUAACCAACACCAGUAUUUCCACCGUAACCAUAACCUGCAGCACCAUAACCAGAAUACGGAGGGAAACCACCUGCCGUAGACUGAGGCUGCAUAUAUCUAUUGCCAUCCAUUCGGCCAUCAAAUGCAUUUGAACUGGCUCCCGAGGCACUAUAACCUUGAUAGCCCCCACCACGACCUCCACCGCCAGGAUUUGCAUCUUUGGGAAGUGCUCGUUUUACUUCUACAAGUUUACCAUUCAACUCAUGGAAGUUCUUUUGUAGUACUCUAUCAACUGCAUCUUCAGUGUCAAAAGUUAUGAAACCAAAUCCUCGAGGCCGUUGAGUGUUCUGGUCAUACAUUAUUACUACAUCAGUAACACUGCCGUACUCUUCAAAGAAUUGACGAAAUCCAUCUUCUGUCAGUGUGGAAGGCAAUCCUCCAACAAAUAUUUUCUUAGUCUUAAAAUUUCCUCCACCUCCGGAGCUUCUAGUGGCAUUAAAAUUUCCAGUUCGAUUGGAUGUUUGCUGCUCUUCUCUUGACAAAGCCUUUUUUGCUUCCACCUGCAUAGUCAAAGUGGUACAUUUAAACAAUCUAAGGGACAAACUAAUGUUUAUUCAAGACAAAGUAAAGAUAUAUGAAAGUGUCACAGGUUUAAUUUUACUGAGAAAGAACACAAGAAAAUGCAUGUGAUUGAUCUAGGUCAUAUGAAAAACAAAAGUCUCGAAUAUAAAUCAACUCAAACUAUAUAGAACCUAGCAAAACAACUACUUUCUGUAACAGCUAGAACGAAAUCUGCACACAGAAUCUGAUCGUUCAAGUGCUGAAUUAGGAAAGUCUUACAUCUACAAUGUGCAUAUUAAAAGGAAUUCAAGAAAUAUGCACACUUUCACUAAAUACACCAACAGACACAUUAGGAUUGAAGGUUCAAGCUUUUGUCUAUCCAAGUGCUGAUUGCACGAUUUCCCAGAAGCAACCUAUAUGUAUGACUUCUCAUCAACUAACAGAUCAAGAAUCUGUUACUCGAAACAACAAUGCAACAAUCUGUUACUCGAAAUGACAAUACAACCCCGUGAACCUGAAAUAACCAUUGCACAAAAGCAAUGCAAUUCUAUCACUACACAAGUUGAAUUGCAAAUUGAAAUCAACAGCCGAAGCUACGAACAUAAAUUAACCACAGUUCAGCCCAAAAAUUCAAUACUUUCCCUAAUUCUACAGUUCCUCAGUCACCAGAUGCAAAAUGCAAGAACACUCAAAACAAAGCUUCCACAUCAAAAUUGACAUCUACCAUAGUCAAGCCCAUAGCUUAAAACACCAACACAAGCUCUCUGAAUCAAAAUCAAAAGCACUAAGCAAUCAAGCAACGAGGCAAUGCAGGCGAAAUAGGCGUGAGAGAAGAAAGAGGAGAGGACUGACCACACGGCCGUCGAUGGUGUGCUUGUCGUUGAGGACCCUAUCGAGGACGGCGGGAUCAGAGAAGACGACGAAGCCGAAGCCGCGGGGGCGGCCGGUGAUCUUGUCGCGCAUGAUGACGGCCUGGCUGACGUCACCGUACUGGUUGAAGUAGUCGGUGAGCUUCUCCUCGGUGGUGUCCCAGGCCAGUCCGCCUAUGAAGAGCUUGCUCUCGUCGGAGUCCAUGGCGGCUCUCUCUGAAACUGAGAGAGAGAGAGAGAGAGAGAGAGAGAGAGAGAGAGAGAGAAGGANNNNNNNNNNNNNNNNNNNNGAAGGGCUAGUGCCCUAGGGUUUGUUUGAAAACGACACCGGAUCGAGCACGUGACAAAGGGAAUAUAUAACUAACUGAAAGGGAUUCCCCAAAUUGCCCUUGGAUAAAUCGACCUGUUUGGUCAGUGUGAACAGCACGGGGUGGUGGCGCAGUUGGCUAGCGCGUAGGUCUCAUAGCUAAAGAAAUUAUGUGAGUGAUCCUGAGGUCGAGAGUUCGAGCCUCUCUCACCCCAAUUCUUUUUUUAAACGUCAAAGUUCCUCUUUAAUGAAAGAGUGUCACGCUCCAAUUCUUUUUAUAAACAUCAAAGUUCCUCUUUAUUGAAAGAGUGUCAUGUUUGAUGUUUACAUACACCGUAAAUUCUGGCUACAAGCUCGCAGUAGAGACGGAGUAAACUCUCUCAAAUAUCGGUGAAGCUUCAAGUAAUGAAGCUAAUAGGAAGUUCUGGAGAGUUAUGUGAGGACUUCAAAUUCCCAAUAAGAUCAAGUUUUUUCUUUUUUUUUUUUGUGUGGAGAGCAGUCCAUGACAUCCUUCCAUGUUCCUUUAAUCUUUAUCAAAGAAAGAUUACAAAUAACCCUUGCUGCUCCCGAUGUGGUAUUAAAGCUGAGACAACUUUUCAUGCUCUAUGGGAGUGUGAAUUUAGCCGGAGAGUUUGGAAGAAAUCCAUUUGGAAAGAUUCUGGAAAGAGUCACUCUACUUUUGCUAGUUGGUGUGAAGAGCUGAUUCGUCAUCUGCCCAAGGAUGAGAUGGAAUUGUUUGCUUAUGUAACUUGGCGGCUUUGGAUGUUGAGAAAUGACCAUCUUCAUGGUAAAAUUAAUUAUCAAACUCCAGGCUACAUUAUCUCUAAAGCUUGUUCUCUUUUGGGUGAGUUUAAGGAGGCUAACAAAAUCAAGGGGCUGCAUAAAGUGAAUAGAGAGUGUAAUUGGGAACCUCCAUGUGAAGGUGUGUACAAACUAAAUACUGAUGGUGCAGUGAAUCUUAAAAACGGAAGAAGAGGGCAUGGUGCUGUGAUCCGAAACGAGAAAGGAGAGCUUAUGAGAGCUUCUGCUCAACAAGUUGUAGGUACUUUCUCUCCAUUGGUAACUGAACUUAUGGCACUAAAAGCGGGUCUAUGCUUUGCUAUUGAUUUGAGAACCCUUCCUGUGGUAGUUGCAUUGGACUGCACAGAGGCGGUGCGUCUUAUCAAUGUCUCCGAUACUUGUAUCGCUGGGGAGGGUUUCUUAGUUGAAGAAGAGAAGUCCUUGCAAAAAUGUUGUAGUGCAAGUUGUGUCACCUUCAAACCCCGGGAAUGCAACAAGGUUUCUCAUGGUUUAGCUAAAUUCAUUUUGUAUGAAAAUGAGAAUAUGUUCUGUAUUGAGCAUGGGCCAGAAUGGCUUAUGGAAUUGGUGAAAAUAGAUUCUGAUAUUUGUAACAUUUCCUCCGAUUAAUGAAUGAUUACUUUUCUUGAUACAAAAAAAAAAAAAGAAUGUUUACAUACACCAAGGAGUUCUCGAUCACUAGUUGUAUGCUUUGGGGCUCAUCUUCAUUCUGAACCCAAAAAUGCAAUCAAAUAAGGUUGAAUCCAUAUGGGAUCCCUUCUAAUACAUAUGGGAGCCCUUCUAAUCAAUCUCAUUUUUGGGUUUCUAUACAUAUGGGAGCCCUUGUAAUCCAUAUCAAAUAUGGGUUUCUCAUCUUUCAUUUUCAUUUUUGGAUUUAGGUACGAACAGUGGCGGAACUGUGCUUGGGUCUAAGAGGGUUCAGACCCCUGCUAGUUUUUGAAUAUGUCUUUCAUUAGUUAACUUGAUUACCUUAAGAGUGCAGCUAUUGAGACCUCCAAAUUUGCUCACUUUACCUCACUCUAUUAUGAAUUAUUAAAUGACAUAUGUAUCCGCUUACACGUACAAUGACUAUUAAGGACACUAAUUAAAAAAAAGAAAAUAAUAUUACAUUUAUUCUCUCUAAACUUUCUAAUUCAAUAAUAAUGGAUUGCAUUUUAUUAUUUUCCUUAUUGAUUUUUAUUUUCUAGUUUUACCACAUACUUAUUAAAGCAUUUAUAUAUUUAUAUUAUCAUACAUGUCACAUGCAUAUACAAAGUGAAAAAAUAUUUUUACAAAAAUUAUGAUCUAUCAAUUAUUAAAAAAUAAAUAAAUAAGUAUCAUAAUAUUUUUACAAAAAUUAUGAUCUAUCAAUUAUUAAAUUAAUUUAUCAUCAUGAGGUAUAAAAACAAAAAAUAUAAACUUACAAAAAUAAUAGUAUAUGUAAAAUAGAAAUACAAAAAUAACAAAAAUAUAGAAUAGUUCAUGUAAGAACAUUCUUUUGAUGAUGGAUAAAUAAAAAUUUUAGAGACACAAAUCCUUGUUUUUUUAAAUUUUUAAAAGUAAUAAUAUUUUUCAUGAUUCGAAUUAAUUUUUCUCUAAAAUUGAUGUCAUUGAAAAUUAUUUCUUACAAUUUGAUUAAAAAAUGAAUGUCUAGUGACAUUUUAAGCAAAAUACAAAAAAUACAAAAAAUAAAGAAAAUCAAGAAAUCAAGGUCGGGAAUGGAGGUUUGCGUUAAAAAGAAAAAGAAAAAAAAAUUAAAGAAUGGAAGUCGGGAAUGGAUCGGAUGUUCACAUGCAAAAGGAAAAAAAAGAAUUAGAGGUAUAGUGAGUGAAUAAGAUGUGUAAUGAGUAAUAUAUUAAUAUAUAUGUGAAUUACAUAAAUAAGACUAUUUUAGAAAUUUGAAAUGAGAUCUAAUAAGCAAAUGUUUGUAUUUAAAAGUAAAAUGGAGGUGUAGAGAGAAUAAGAGGUAUACUGAGCAAAUUUAGAGGUCCCAAUAGCCACACUGUUAUCUUAAUUAUUACAAUUAUGCUAUAUCUGAACCCCUCAAGUAAAUUUUGAGAGAUUUUUUCUCUAAUAUAUAUGAUAAUUGGGAGAUAUUUCUCUUUUAAUAUGAUAUCGGAACGAAUGAAUUCCUUCCAUCUUAGCUUCAGUGCUUGAUUAAUAUUCAAUUUUGUACAAUAUAUAUCAAACAUUGAAUUUUGAUAUUUAUUUUAAUGUUCAUUUAUAUUUCAAUUUUUAUGUUUAUGAUGACAAGAAAAUCAGUUUCAUAUUUGGACUCCCGGUAACUUUUAAUCCUAGUUCCACCACGUCACUGGGUACAAAGACAAGUGACCCACAGGUGAUCAACGGUUUAUAUACGUUGGCUAGAUAAGGCCUCAGUCUGCACAGAAGCACACAACUAAGAUGUUCAAGUAAUUAUCUCACCAAAAAAAAAAAAAAUGUUCAAGUAAUUACAGGCUGUGAUCACGCACUCAUGAUCCUAACGGUCACUUCCUCUUCCUGGGAAUAAAAAAACCCUAGAGCCUCUCACAGGUAGGGUCCCUGGCCCCAAAUCAAGCCCCCCAGCCUUCAAAUUUUCAUGACCGUUUUGUCCCUUUCCCUCCCCUUUUCCCUUUUUCUCAAAGUUUCUAUAUUCUUUGUCACCAAAACCCAACGGCCACCGCUCUCUCUCUCUCUCUCUUCUUCUCUCACUCGCAGAGAUCAAAGAUGCAUUGGUUGCUCUGAAAACCCAGAACCCAAAUCACAGAAAGACCCAAUCUUUGAGAGCGAAGCAGUGAGAUCUGUGAUGGGUUGCUUUCUUGCUUGUUUUGGUUCUUCCAAAGAUAAGAACCGCCGGAAUCAACAGCAGAGGUACAGGGUUCAGAACCGGGAACAAGUAAGCCCUCGUUUCCAAAGCUUUGUUAUUGGUGUAUGGUUCUGUGUUUGCUUAGAAUCGAGUACAGUGUUCAAUCUUGCAUACUGUUUCUUUUUUGGGUUUGGUUUAGUUUUGUUAAAUUUGGUAUGAAACUGGUGUUGUUUUUUGCUUUUGAGAUGUUCUGUUUAGGCAGAGUCUUGAAGUUUAAGAAUUUAAAGAGCUUGGGUUGGUGUUCUUCUUUGGCUAAUAGCUAUGUGUAAUUGCUUUUUCCUCAGAGAUACACAAGUUUUGAGCCUGUUCAAUCUGCUGUGUCUGAUGUGCCUGUUUGGGAGAAACCCAUCACUCCUGAUUUGAAAUGUGAGGAACCCAUCAAUCCUGAAUUGAAAUGUGAGAAACCCAUCAGCCCAGAAUUGAAAGAUGAGAAACCCAUCAGCCCAGAAUUGAAAGAAGAAGAACCCAGUAGUCCAGAAUUGGAAGUUGUAAUCAGUCCAGAAGUUAGGUGAGUGAUUGAAACUUCAUGGUUUUGAUUUCACUAAGUCCUUAUAUAUCUCUUUGAUGCAUGUGUUAGGUGAGUGAUUGAAACUUCAUGGUUUUGAUUUCACUAAGUCCUUAUAUAUCUCUUUGAUGCAUGUGUUUGCUUUGGAGUUGUAGUUUGCUUUGGUGUUUUUUUAUAUUGAAGUUUAUGAGUUUUGUUCUGUAGGGAUAAGCCAGUGGAACAACUGAGCUGCAUUGCUAGAAAGAAGGUGACUUUUGAUUCUAAUGUGCAAACCUAUGAGCAUGUUGCAAUCAACGAAUCCACGGAUAUUUUACUUGAUAGUAAAGAGUGUCAGAAGGAGGAGGGGGAAACCUUGAAAGAAUCAAGCCUGUCGAAGACUUCGUCUGAAGAUGAUUCCAUCACUUCUAGCUCAGGGUCGUAUCCUCCUAAUCAUAGGUACCAGAAUUGCAGGGACAGUGAUGAUGAAGAUGAACCAUUAGACUAUGACGAGGACAGUGAUCUUGAUGAUGAUGAUGAUCUUGAGGACGAAACUGAUGAUGAUGAAAUUGUAGACUCGAAGAGAGGGACACAAGUAAUGACUGAGGAUGCUGACAGUCCAAUUCCAAAAAAGCCAACUGGGCUUAACUACAGUGUUCGUGAUAGGAGUGGUUAUGUUCAUGCUGUGCUUAACCCAGUUGAAAAUAUCACACAAUGGAAAGCUGUCAAAGCAAAAAAGACAACCGUAAUGAAACCUCAGAAGGAGAAUUUCACCCUGGAUGAUGAACCCCGGAUUUCAUUCAGUUCAGAGCCAAGUAUCAAGGAAGUAUCGUCGAGUUUCAAAUCAUGUAAGAGGCAAUCUGGUCAGGCGAGGAAUUCUAACCAUGAAAUGGCAGUUGAUGCUAGCCUGUCAAAUUGGUUGGGUUCAUCAGAAGCUACACCUGUUAAAAAGACUAGCACAUCUCUGGGCGCUUCUACGCCUGAGAAAAGCAUGUCCUACGGAUCACCACACUCAGCAACAAGCCACGAAGAUAGACCAAUUUUAGGUGCAUUAACAGUUGAAGAGCUGAGACAGUUUUCAGCUUCAUCUUCACCGCGGAAAUCACCCAGCAGAAGCCCUGAUGAGAUGGCCAUAAUUGGGACUGUUGGGAGCUACUGGAAUGAUCAGACCGAUCCUGCCAAGGGUUCUGGUGCCUCCUCUUACAAAGGAAUACCAAACACAACCAGCAAGUACAGAGAGGUAAGUGUGAAGUAAGAUUUGUGAGACACUCACUCUUCCAGAUUAUUGUUGGGUUCUGAUAAAAGUUUUGUGGAUUUGCAGGAUAGAAGAGUCAACUGGCACUCUACCCCAUUCGAGACACGAUUAGAAAGAGCUUUGAAUAGAGGUGCUGCAGAUGCCUACUCAUCUUCUCGUACGCCUCAUGGUUUGUGAGAUUGUUUUGUGAUUGUUGUUGUCUGUUCAUUGUGUCCUAUUUUUUAAUUUUUUAAUUUUUUUUUUUUUUUUUUUUUGUGAACUAGACCUUGCUAUGAGUUGUUGUGAGAUAGUUGCUUGGGUAGUAUAAUAUUUAUAUGAAACUAGACUUUGCUUGUAUCAUGAACCUACACUUCCUGGAUCAGUAUCAGUCCCUGAAAACAUUUUGUUAGAUAUGAGAAGAAGAAAAAUGAAAUGGCAUUAUUAUUCAUCUUCAGCUUGCCACAAUGUACCCAUUACUUUUUUACGAAGAUGAAAUUUGUAAAAAUUUCAAGAAUAAGUAGAAAUUCUAUGCUGUUUAUGAAGAGGCAAUAUUUCAAUAGUUUCUGCCAAGACAUGAUGGCUUCUAGGCUAACUUAUAAAUUUCUACAACUCUGUUUUCGAUCAAACGCUACCUGAUACUCACUGAUGGCUUCUAGGCUAACUUAUAAAUUUCUACAACUCUGUUUUCGAUCAAACGCUACCUGAUACUCACUGGCAACACAUUCAGCAGAUGUGUUACUUUUCCUCAUGAUUUUCACCUGACUGACUGUGGCACUGAAACCAGAAGUAGAAGAGCCUAAUAGCUAAUCUUGAUCAUGAUCUGUGAACCCAACUGCUGAAUAUGAACAAGCAGCUAGUACCUAAAUUUCUUACCAUAAAUUCAUAACAGAUCCAUUUGUUUUUCCAUUUAGCAGCUUCUACUUCUGUUUGUCUUGGACCUCAAGACUUUGAUCAAAAGAGAGGUUUCUGACUUUCUGUUAUUCUCAUGGAAAGUUUAAUCAACUUUCCUGGAGAUUUUACUAUAACCAACUUAUCGUCUCUAGUGAAACUGUACACCCAUAUUUUCAAAUGAUGAGUAGUGUAAUUGUCGCAACCAACAAGAUUAUUUCUUACUACCUUACACUGCUGGAUCUAGAAAUUUAACAUCAGACUGCCUUUCUUAAUCAUUAACCUUUCUUUUCAAACAUCAGACUGCGUACGUUGAUAAAUUCAUCAUACACGUCAGCAGAUUAAUAUUCACAUAUAUGAAAAGGUAGAAGGAAAAAAGAAAAAGAAAGAACGCAGCAGAUUACUUCAUGUCACUCGUACUACCAUAGAACUUGGAGCUACUCAAUUUACCGAGUACUAAUACAGCUGAACAGAAAUUUCUGCUGUAUAACUUCAAUGUAAUAUGAUGGCGAUAUAUCAAGUAUCUCAAACAAAGCAACAGCAACCACAUUUUCAUCAUACCCACAAGAAGUUGUAAUCGAAAUAGACAACACAAGACAUGAUGAGCGGGACUAUGAGUUUCACAUCAACAUAAAGACUACAUAAUACACCUGACACUGCUGGCACUAGCUAGCAUAAUACUGAUAAAAAAGAAAAGAAAAAAAAGCUAGCAUAAUACAUUUAUUCACCAAAUAGCUAGAAACUAUAGGAAAUGCAGGACUCUUUCAAUUUUGGAGAGAUAUAGUUGUUAAAUCCCCUUCUUAUUUCAGUUCCUUCUAGUUAAGAAAACUAGCCAAGUUCUUGAUGGUUACCGUGCUGAACGGCUCAGAAAGGCAAGCCUGGGUCCUGGCUGAUGAUAGUUCUUUUGCCACAGAAUGCAUGGUUGGUCGUGAUUCUGGAUUAAUGCUGGUGCAGGCCAAGGCCAUUGUAACCAAGGAAACCACUCGCACUGCUAAUUGACUUGAAGGAGACCGAAGUCGCUGGUCAAGCAGAUCCUUCAAGAGCAUAUCUCCAUUUUCCGAUAGAGAAGUCAGUAGCUCCCCUGGAUGCUUACCCAUCAUGAUUUCUAACGCGAUCACUCCAAAGCUGUAUACAUCACUCUUGUCUGUCACUUGCAUUGUGAAUGCGAACUCUGCAUGCUCAUAAAAAUAACCAAAAUUUUCCCAUCAUAUACAUGUAUAAAACAAUAUUGCUAAUGCUCAAAGUCUAAACCUCUAUAUAGAUCAAAUACAAACUUUAUAAGAAGUUUGUUGAAUGACUAAUACCUGGAGCCAUGUAGCCAUAAGACCCAGCUACAGCAGUCCAGUUUGAGGAAUCUGAGCUCAGUAGUUUUGCUGUUCCAAAGUCUGAUAGGCGUGGCACAAAAUCUGGAUCUAGUAAUACGUUGCUCAAAGUUAUGUCACGGUGAACUAUUUGGUGAGAGCAGUCAUUAUGCAAGUGAGAAAUAGCAUGAGCUAUUCCUUGCACAAUUUUCACCCUAGUUCCCCAGCCAAGCACUUCUACUUCACCCUCAGCUCCAUACAAUGCCAUUUUCAAACUGCCUCUCUCUGCAUAUUCAUACACCAAGUACAAGCACCCCUUCCAGGAACAGAACCCAUAAAGUUUUAUUACAUUUCUGUGCAUCACUUCUGUCAAGGUUCUUAUCUCAUUCUCAAAACUCUUGAGAUUCAACUCUGGAAUGUCGUCACUAGAGUCUACUGACAUAUGCAAUUUCUUAACUGCAACAACUCUGCCUCUGUCCAACGCGGCCUUGUAGACACUUCCAAAACCUCCUCUUCCAAUGAGGUACUUCUCAUCAAAGUUCUCGGUGGCAGUGAUGAUUUCAGAAAAUUUAAGUUUACCAUGUCUUCCCCAAAUAAAUGAAUCAUAACUUUCAGACACCUUAGGAUCAUCGAUUUCUCCAAGCUUUGAUUUCUUGCAGAACUUGAGGAUUACAGCAGAUAUGGUCACCAUAAGCAAUAUACCACAAAUGGGAACAAGGACGCCAACAAGAAUUUUCUUGUUGGACCUUUUAGUACCUAAAGUACAUGGAGUUAGUCCAUCUCUAUCACCACACAAACCACUAUUCCCAAUGAAAGCAUUAUUUGGAAGCUUCUUUUGGAAAAUGCCACCGGUUGGGAUUGUACCUGUCAAGUUGUUGUAAGAAAAAUCAAUGCCGACAAGGCUAAGCAUUCUGGGUAAUGUUGCUGGGAUGUUCCCUGAGAGUUGGUUAUGGGAGACAUUAAGAAUCUCCAGCAUUAUGAGCUUGGCAAGGUUUGAAGGUACUGAUCCUGAAAAGGAAUUGCUGCUGAGGUCCAACAAGUAUCGCAGGGGUAGAUUACCAAGCUCAUCUGCUAUUCCACCUGAUAAUUUGUUGUGGCUUAUGUUCAAACUUAUUAAGCUCUUGAACGUUCCAGACUCGACUGGUAAUACUCCUGUAAAAUUAUUAGCAGACAAAUCAAGAAACUGCAGCAUACUCAGUCCGCCUAGAAUCUGAGGAAUUGUUCCUGUCAGGUGGUUCCUGCUUAGAUCUAGAGAGUACAACAAGCUUAUAUUUGCAAUGAAAGCCGGAAAUUCCCCGCUGAAUUCAUUAGCGCCUAGGCUUAGAUGCUGCAACUGUGUAAGCUGCCCCAGCUCAGGUGGGAGUUGACCAGAAAUUCUAUUUCCCUCCAUCCGCAUAUCCAUGAUGUUCUUGAAUUCUCCCCACUGUGGCGAGAGUUGACCAACAAACUUGUUGUUACUAAGAACAAUUUGUGUAAGGCUGGGAUGAACUCCAAAUGCAUUGCUAAUGUUUCCGGUGAAUUGGUUUCCAUCAAGCGAGACUGUAAUCAGUGCAGAACAAUAUCUCAAGCACUCAGGCAAUGGCCCUCUGAAGCUGUUAUGACUCACUCCGAUAUAUUCCAGAGACAAUCCACUGCACAGUUCUUGUGGCAAUUCUCCAGAUAAUUUGUUACUCGAAAGGCCAACAGCUUUCAAUUUAGGAUUGUAUUUACCAAAAUCACUGGGAAUAGUUCCUGAUAACUUAUUGACUUCUGCAUAAAAAAUCUGUAUGUUAGUCAGUAGAGAAAUGGUUUCUGGCAACUCACCCUCAAGUUUGUUCUCAUCCACUACAAAGAAAGCCAGUGAAGUCAUGUUUCCAAUCUCUGGGGGAAUUGUGCCACUGAGAGUAUUCGAGUCAAGGAGUAGACUAUCAAGAUAUGUGAGAUUCCAGAGUCCCAAAGGAAUCCGCCCAGAGAACUGGUUUUUAGAGAGGUCCAAAUAUUUCACAACUUUCAGGUUUCCUAUCUCUGGGGGAAUUGUGCCACUGAGAGCAUUUGACUUAAGAUCUACAACCUCAAGAUGUGUGAGAUUCCAGAUUGUCAAAGGAAUUGGCCCAGAUAGGUGGUUUUCUGAUAGAACAAAGUAUCUCAAAUCUUGCAAGUUCCCUAUGUCUGAGGGAAUUGUUCCAUAGAAGUUAUUGCCGUGCAGAGAAAAAAAAUUGAGUUUUGUCAAAAGGCCAAUUUCUGCUGGAAUGUUCCCACUGAACCUAUUUAUUUGGAGAUACAAAGUGGUCAUCUUAGUCCAAUUGGAGAUCAGAGAAGGUAAGAUUGGCCCCGUAAACAGAUUUUCAGAUAACUUCAACUCCACCAAACUGUGGAGAUUGGCCAAGAACAAAGGAAGUUCCUCACUGAAUCUAUUAUUUUUGAGGUUCAAGGACAACAUUUCAGUCCAAUUGGAGAUCAGAGAAGACAAGAUCGGCCCAGUAAAUAGAUUAUCCGAUAACCUCAAAAACUUCAAGUUGUUGAGAUUGGACAAGGACAGAGGCAGUUCCCCACUGAGUUUAUUGACAGCCAAGGACAAAUGAGUGAGCUUUGUACAAAGGCCAAGCUCAGAAGGGAUUGAAGAGUUCAAGAAAUUCUCUCCAAGGUCUAGGUGCUGUAGCUCCCUGAGUUGGCCUACUGAGGAUGGGAUUUUGCCUUCAAGGGAGUUGUUAUAAAGGCUAAUAAAUUGAAGACCAGAUAUGAAGCCAAUACCUUCAGGAAUUGGACCAUUAAAGUUGUUCAAUUCCAAAUUAAGGUGCUUAAGGUUGGGAAAGUUAUAUGGGAAUGGUCCUUGGAAUCGGUUGUUGGUGAGAUUGAGAGAUUCAAGCUUGACCAGGUUGGUAACUACCACCUUUGGUAUCUGGCCAGUCAAAAGAUUUUCUGACAAAUCCAGGAAGGUCAAGUUCCUACAUUCAGAUAUAAAUUCUGGGAAUUCUGAAUCCAAAUUGUUCAGGGAAAGAUCAAGGUACCUCAACAAAGGAAAGCCUGAAAAUUUAGACCAGUCAGGAGUGUCUAAGUGGUUACUUCCAAGAAGCAAAUAUUUUACCUUUUUGAGAUUGUCCAGCUGAUAGGGAAUGGUACCAGUGAGACUGUUGUUGUAGAGACUUAGGUACUGAAGCGCCUUUAGGUUUCCCAUUUGUGCAGGAACUUCUUGUGAAAACAUAUUGUUGCCCAAAUCCAAGGUUGUGAGGUUGGUGAGGUUGCCCAUGGCAGAUGGUAUAGGCCCUGAGAAAUUGUUGCCACUGAGGUUGAAGUAAUUGAGAUAGAGAAACUUGUCGAAGUUGAACUGUGUUAGUGCUCCAGCAGUGAUGUUGAAGUUUGCAAGGUGAAUUUUAGAAACUGUUUUGGUAUUAUGGUUACAGACAAUUGCACUCCAGUAGCAAAGGCUGUUUAGGUUUGUGAAGGACCAUGAAUUCAGAGAAGGCGGUGAAGAACCAAAGCUGCUCUUCCAUUUUAGGAGAGCUUCAGCCUGUGUUCUUUGUGAUGAUAUGGCCUCCAAUGGAAGCAAAAAGAGCAACAAAAUAUGAAGGACGAGGACACGCAGUGGAGUCUCCUGAACUGCUCUCAUGAUGUUGUGCUCUAUCGAAAUAAUAAAGCUGUAUGGAAGAAGGAAUCUACACCAGGAGAUGAUCAAUUUUGAAGAAAGAGGUUGAUUUUGUAAGCUCUCUGAAUAGUUUUGAGGAGAUUUAAAAUGACUUGGGAGUUGGGAAAUUCAUUCAGCAAGUCAGUCUACUAGCUUGACCAGUUGUAUUCUUUGAAUGCAACAGUAACUCCACUUAACCUUUUGAAAUUUGUUAUCCAGUAAGAGCAGUAAUACCUAAUCAACUGCUAAUAUCACUUUGCAUCAACAAAUCAGUGGCAAGCAAAUACCUUAAUUUAGUGAAGAAUGUGGCUACGCGCAAAACCUUUUACUAAUGGUUUUCUAGUUAAUAGGUCUUUGAUGAUUACACAUGUUUGUUUAAUGAAAUUGAAAUAGCACAGCAUUUGCUAACUUUCCUAAUGCUAUUUCUGUGGGUUGAAAAGUGAUUUUAGAUUCAGCCACCGUGUUUAUCGUUUUACUUAUUAAAGAUUAUGUUCUAAUAUUCCAAGUAAGAUUUGUAACACAUGCAUCUAUAUCGAAGAAGUAAGAAGGCAAACAAAUGACAACAAUUUUGAAAUUUCCCUAUAAUGAACUCAUAAUCAGAUAUAACAGUACAACAAAUGCAACUCUAAACUAUUUAAAUUCUUCAUAUAGAGUUCGUGGGUUAUCAGAGACAUAAGGUAGGCUACAGUACCUGCUUGAUCGAUGUUGAUGCUAAUGUUCUGAGUUGAGUAUUAUCGAUCAGAUUUGAUAUCAACUUGCCGCAUGCUUCCCUCACUGGAUAGGAGGAGGUGAGCGCGCGCCGUCGUUUUGGUUUGUGGGAGUGGAUGGAAUUUUGUUGUGGUUGAGGAUUAGAGAGGGACAUGAUUUGCAGAGUGCUCUGCAUUUGAAUAGUGAUUUGACGAAAUGAGGCGUCUGAGAUUGGUUGCAUUGAUCGAUUUUCCAGCGACACUUUACUUUGAUGUUUCGAUGGAAGACUUGGGGUUUAGGGUUUUAGACUUUAGUUGCUGCUGGUUCUGAAGCAAUGAAAAGUCGAAAUAGGCCUCGAAGCUUAAUUUUUUAUUUAUUUUUUUAAUAAGGAAAGCUUAAUUAAUUGUAUAACAGAAAAUUACAUAUAUACAAGGAACUUAUCAAAUUUAAAAACACAAAAAACCCACAUUCAAUAUUUCUUAUACAGAUUAGGACAUCAAUCCAAGCCUAACAAUAAUAACAGCAGGCCUGACCCGAGUUGUAGAUUGAAAUGACUAAAUGCCCAACUCUAAAUCAAAAAUUACAAACCUCAUCCUUUAUCUUCUUCUCUCUCCACCUUGCCACAGAUCUCUUCCUUUCUCUCUGUGUUUUUUUUUCUAGAAGCUCUCUCUCUGUUACUCUCUCUCUCUCAUACCAAUUAACAGCGGCAGAAGACACUCGACUGCGACGCCCAUAUAUGACAGACGACGCUCGUCGACGACGCCUGGCUCCUCAACGUUGACUGCGGAUCUGCCUUGAUGACGACGGUGGAUCUACCUCGAUGACGACGGCGGAUCUGCCUCGACGGCAAAGGCAGCUCUGCCUCGACGACGACGGCUCCACCGAUCCUCUCACUGUACAUAUUCCUCAGUCCUCCACCGUCGUCAAAAUCCAAUCUGCUACUAAAGCCACUUGAUCCGAGGCCAACGACAUGAGCAGUCGACACAGUCGAGAAGGAAGUUGAGUCGAUUCUUGUUCAAAGCAUUUCAAUUCAAUUAUCACUGAAUGUUUGGGGUUUAGGAUUGGGUAUAUGAUUGGGUUGAGCGUCUGAGUAGCAAUGAGAGGUUGAGGUCAGACUGAGACAAUGAAUUGAAAAUGGAGCUAUAUGAUUGGGUUGAGGUAAUGCAUUGAAAAUGGAGGAGACUGGUUGAGGCAGUAGCAGUGGGUUGAGUAGCAGAAGCAGACAGUAUCAGAGUGGGAUGUGUAGCAGGCAAAUUGGUAAUAGAAGUCGUCAGUAGCAGACAGAUUGGUAGUAUAAGUCGGCAGUAGCAGACGCAUCGGUAGUAGAAGUCGACAGUAGUAGUCGACAUUACCUUGAUCGACAGUAGCAGAUUAUUCAGCUUGUUUGUAAAUUGUUACUCCCUUUAUAGUCUAGUUUUUUACUCCAUAGUAGCAGCUUUUUAAUCGGAAAUAGCAGCGCUCCGGCCGACAGUAGCACCUUUCUAUUAGGCAGUAGCAACGCACGAGACUGAACCUGUGUCUAUAAAUUCUGACCGACUUAUUUUUUUGUUAUAAUUAAUUUUUUUAAGUUUGAAGGUUACAAUUGUAAAUGUGUUAUUGCCACAUGGCAACAAUAUAACAACUUGUCUUUAUUUGUUAAUUUUUGUCCUUAGAUGUGUAAGAUAUUAUGUAAUGAAUGUAUUUGUAAACUGAAAUUUGGUUAGUAACUAAUAUGUAUUUUACUAAUUGUACAAUGAUUAACACUAACUGAAAGUGGGAGCUAGUCCUAAAUUCAAACAUAUGGCGGAAAAUCGAAGGUAGAUAAGAACCCAUAUUGGAUACAAAGGUAGACCGACUAAAUGCAUAAGUUGACUAGCUAGCUUGACUUAAUCUCAAGUUAAUUAGAUGUAUUAACAUACUGUGUACAAACCUUUUUUAACUAUGUAUUCAUUUCAAAGAGAUGCCACAGCCAAAGGGUACCAUGUGAUAUAAUAAUCAUGAUCUGUGUAAACAAACUCACAUAACUUGAACAAGUUUUAACCUUAUUCUACAGUUCUAUGUUAGUUAGUCUAAUAACAUAUCCAUGCCACAAAGUGAGCCUCCAUACAAACUAACAAUCUAGACUAUAGUGCAUGUACACCCUAAAUUUCAAUACCACAAGAUACGAUGAGCCUCCGCAGAAACUAAUUGCCUACAAUUCUACAUUGAAACUGCACAAACUGUUACAGCUCUAUGACAGAGCUUGAUUAUCUUUAUCGUACCAUACAUUGUUCGAGCCAGAAUAACAAAAUAAUACUAACUGAUUUAUUUACCGGGAAACUCGAAAGUAAUUAGAUAUCCUAAAACAAUAAGGCCUUACCACUGUUCAUUCCAGUGGCGAAAACACGGUUUUACCUCCGAUUUGCAAACAAUUACAACAAUGCCAUUGAUGAGUCUGAUACAUGUCUAGGUCCUUGACGUGUCGUCAAUAUUUUCUUCUACACGACCUAUAGUGAUACCUGCGGGCAUGUCCUGCUGAUACGUGUAUUGGUCAUUGACGUUUCGUCAGUGUCUUCUUCUACAUGACGGGGUUCCAUUUGAUAACCAUCUUAUAAGUUAUAACCAUCUUCUGCGUCCCUUUUUGCAGUGAAGGGGAGUGAGAGAAAGAGGGGUUAUUUGUGAAGCAAAAAUCUGCAUUGCUAUUGUCAAUCAAAUCGUUGAGGUAUGGGUUUUGCUUUGUCUAUCAUUGAUUUUGGGUUACUGUUUCAUUGUCCCGAUCGUCUUUCGUCUUUCGUCUUUGUUUUGAUUCCAAAUUACCAAUACUUUCAUCAAUUCGUAAACAGGGUUCUGGGUUCUUAAACGGCGGUGUCCGACGGACUCUCUGAGGGUUAUAUGAGACAAAUAUGUAUAUAACCCAAUCCAUGCAAGUACUGACUGGUUUCAGUGGUGAGGUAUAUAUAGACAACUCAGACAGGCUGUGAAUUUUGGUUUCACAUUCAAAGACGGAAACAAUCUGAUGUGUGUGUGUAGAUAGAAUGCUAGCAGCUUUUUCUCUUCACCAAAUUUUGUGGCCACAAAAUUCAAGCUGGGAUGUUCUCCUAGCAUACUGGCAUAAGUCAUGUUCUGAUUGUCUAUUGAGAACAAAAGGGGCUUAUUAGAUUGUUGCAGCGCAAUUUCAUGGCUUUGUAUGUUCUAACUAUGUGUUCUGGAAGUUUGAUUCUGAUGCCUAACCUUGCGUGUCAUUGUUGUUACUUUCCUGUGUAAGCUUUGUUUAGUUUUUGCAGACAACACUAUGUCAGCAACAAUCAUUGCAAUUUCAGCCAUACAGCCAUCUGAAAAUGGGAAGACUAUAGAGGUUCCAGUCUGUCGAAUAUGGAGAGGGAAAAUAUUGAAUCCUACUGAACGAAAUGAAGGUCUACAAUGUGUGUUGGUUGACCGAUAUGUAAGCAAUUACAGAGUAUUUGUUUUUCAUGUUUAUCUGUCUCAGUAAUUUUUGGGUGCUUACUAAUGGUAUUUGUUGUUCACAGAUGAAUGCAAUUCAUGCAAUCACAAUAGAAGCAUACUAUGAUUAUGUCAAGGAGAAACUUAUGGUAGGAUGUGUGUACCGGAUAUCAAAAUUUCACUCCAAAAAAUCCCAGGACAAGUACAUCGUCGUGGAACAUAGGGCGCAGUUGUUAUUUAACAACAGGACUCAGUUUAUUCCUCUGCCUGAUAUUCCUCAGCGUUGGUUUUGAUUUGUGGAUUUUGAUAGGCUUCAUAUGCGUGAGAAUAAGGACACAGUUCUGACAGGUAUUUCUUCCUUUCACCUGUGCAUAAAAAAGGCCGUUAUUUCUUAUACUUUCUUUUUGUGAUUCUCUUCCAUUGUUCUUUCAUGCAUCUGUGAAUGUUAUUUAUAUAUCAGUGUCACUGUGUCCAUUAGCAUGCUGAUCAUGUUUGAAUGACAAGUAAUAAAGAUGCUCUUAUAUAUUGGUUUUGUACACAUUAGUAGAAACUAUUAUCUAUUAAGACACUGCUUCAUCUAAUACUAUGUGUUGUUUUUUCUUUUCUUAUCAUGUAGACCUCAUUGGUUUUUUGAAGCUGGUGUAUCCACUGGAAGAAGCAUUUAUCGAUGGGAGGAAAGCACUGAAAUGUUUACUCUACAUACAAGAUGCAAGGUUUGCAAUUUGUUGACCAUGGCCUGUUUAUUGCUAUAUUGAUAUUAAAAUGUGUCAUUUUUUAACUUAGUUUAAGUGUGUACUUCAUGUUUUCAUUCCAUAGGUUUUUAUGCUCUUUUAUAAAGAUAAAUUAGCUAAUAAACUUUUGUAAAUUUUUACAGGAGGCAAGACUUGAAACUCACUUUAUAGGGAACACUUGCAUCUGAAUUUGAAGUUGAUAUGAUAAAAACUUUACCACCUCUAGUUGUAAUGGCCUUCACAAGCACGAAAGUCAGGCGCUUUGGUAUGACAAAGCUAUUUUACUCUGAUACAUGUUGUUGCUGUGUAGUACCUAUUUUCUGUCUCUGUUGCUCUUAAUAAUUCAUUUUUGUUUUUUCAGAUUACACUAUUGUGAACAGUGGGAUGAGUACAUGUCUGUUCAAUAACCCAGCCAUUCCUGAGAUAGAAGAAUAUAGAGCAAAGUAAAGUCUAAUAAGUUGAACAGAAUAAUGUUUGUUCUUUCCAUUUCUGAAACCAACUGAAUCUUAUUUCGUUUCUCACUGUAGCUUCAACAAGCCUUAUAAUGCUCCAAAGUUUAUAACAACAUCAUCUGCACGUCAUGAACCUGCUCCUGAUUAUCGACAUGAAGAUAUAAUCAAUGUCAACACCUUGAACUAGCAGGCUGGAAAGAAAGACAAGGUAAAAUUGCAAAGCAUGAAAAUAAAAGAUUUUGUUACUUUGCAGCUGCAGUUAAUAUUAUUCAAUUGUAUGCUGACUUUGUUGCAGAGUCUCAUUUUUAUCUGCAAAGCUAAGAUUACAAAGUUCAUGGUUCAACAAGGGUGGUAUUACCUGGCUUGCCCCACCUGCUGCAAGACUCUUAGGUUGGAUCAUAAUUCUGGAAAGCUUUGUUGUUGAAAUCAUGGAGAGCGGUUUGGCAAUCCCAUGUAAGGUACUAGAAUAUAUUACAAUUCCAUCUGUAAUAUUUUUAUAAGAACAUCUUCACCAUUUUCUUGGCUUAUAUUUAUGCAAUGCAUAUAGUUUAGUUGCCAGCUCUCUUUGUAAUUAUCAUUAUACUUAAAAACAUCUCUUAUUUCAAUCUAUGGAUGCUUUAUAUUUGUUCAUGCAUAUUUGUUUUAAUCACUGAAAUCACAUGUUUGCACAUACAAAUAACACUAUUACAGAUACAAAAUGGAACUACUGCUUGAGGAUGAAGAUGAUUCAACAACAGCUACAAUCAUAGGUAAAGCAGUGGACACCCUCUUUGGAAUAGCAUGUGAUGAGCUGGUGAAUGAAAAAAGAGAGGAUGACAAGUACAAUGUUGCCCCUACAAUCAUAGGUAAAGUAGCAGACACCCUCUUUGGAAUAGCAUGUGAUGAGUUGGUGAAUGAAAAAGGAGAGAAUGACAAGUACAAUGUUCCCCCUACAAUCAUAGGUAAAGCAGCGGACACCCUCUUUGGAAUAGGAUGUGAUGAGCUGGUGAAUGAAAAAAGAGAGGAUGACAAAUACAAUGUUCCCCCUGCAAUAGAGAAGGCAAAGAAUCAGUAUCAUGUGUGGUGUAUUGGCUAUGGCAUUAGAGAUGAUUUCUUGGUGAAAGAUGUUUACCUCGAGAAUAGAGACGAUGAAGAGCUGUUUAUCCAUGAUACAGUGUCACAGCCAACUACUCUGGCAAAGAGAGCAAUCCAACCCCAUAAGGAAGCAACACUGAAGGAGCUCUUGAACAUGGAAAUAAAAAAGAAACAAAAAAGGUAUUGCCAUAUUCAUAAGAAUUCUAAAAUAACAAUAACAAUGUUGCUGAUUUAAGUGGAAUGAUAUUUGAUUACAUUCUGCUAUUCAUCCGUUGGAAACAAUUAUUUGCAUUUUUAUAUGUAUAACUAGAAUGAUCCCCUUCUUAUAACUUACUUGCUUUUUGCAGAGAAGAAGGGAGCAAAGGGGCUUCCAAGUAAAUGUAUGUUUUCUAUUUUAGAACUUAUUUAUGUUGUGCUGCUGUGGUACAAAUGGAAUCUCUGACAAAAUUAUAUUAUUUACUUUGCAGAGGACAAGGAAGUAAAGGGACCUUGCAGAGGACAAGGAAGUAAAGGGAUCUCAAAGUAAGUUUUGUAUACAUCUAUAUAUAUACCUCAAACAAAAUCAAAUCAAUUAUCUGUCUAAAAUAUACUUUUCAAUUUGCAGAGGAGAAGGAAGCAAAGGGACACCAAAGUAAGUGUUCUUUUUAUCCAUAUCAGUGCAUUUGUUUUCUCUAAAAAUUUAUUUAUGUUGCAGUAGUAUGCCUUGCAUUAAUUGGUUUUGUUUAUCUUUUAACAACUUUGUUAAUAUUCAAUGCUUCAAUUUAAAUGUUUAUGUACUAGAGGUCAACCAAACAAAGCCAAGUCCAAGAUAAAGGAGAACUAAGGAUUCUGUGCUCAUUUUGGAUAAUGGUUAUAUAUAUGCUCGCUCCCCAGCAAUAGUUCUUUUGAUGCUAAGUUGCUAACAGGUUAGACGUACAUGGUUGCUAUCAUCACAACUAUUGUUUUGACUACCAAUGGGAAGCAUUUUGCUGUGCAGAAUGACAAUACAUGACUUAUUUUUUGUACUCAGUUAUUUUGGUGUGUAUGACAGUGUUAUCCACAGAAAGCAAUGUACUGUAUAAUACUACAAUGUGAUGCUUUUGUUUGAUAAGUCACGUGUAUUGUAUCAGACACUAAGUUGAUGGAUUUUCUGUACUCAACAUUUCCAUUUUUCACCAUGUCUCCCUGUAAUAUAGUGUCUGUGUGUUUACUAUGCAAACAAAAGUUUAUCCAAACAAAAGCAAUUCCGAUAGUUAAUAUCAGUCAUUGCAAACCGCGGCAUCGCGCGGGCAUCAUCUAGUCUUGUAAGUAUAUAUUGGACAUGCAAAACGGUUCCAGUUAUCAAGUAGGAAUUGAUUGUUAAGAUUCCAUUUUAUUUUAGUCACUUCUACCUUCGAAAACCUGCCUACUUGUCCAAGGAUAGCAUCGUUAACGGCUCAGAGAGGAAAUUCUGGAUCCUGGCUGAUGACAAUUCUUGUGCCACAAGCUUCAUAGUGGGUCGUGAACUUGGAUCAGUGCUGGUGCAGGCCAAGGACAUUGUCACCACAGAAGCCACUGCCUCUGCUAACCCACCUGAUGGGGACGCAAGUCGUUGGUCUAGCAAAUCCUUUAAAAGAAAUUCGCUGUUUUCUGAUAAAGCAGCCAGUAGCUCCCCAGGAUGCCUUCCCAUCAUGAUUUCUAAUGCCACCACCCCAAAGCUGUAAACAUCACACUUAUCUGUCACACGCAUUGUGAAUGCGAGCUCUUCAUGCACAGAACAAUACAAGAAUCAGCCAAGAUUCUUCGAUCAUAUAUAUACACAUAGAUCAAACAAGAAUGCUAAGUUCACCAAAGUUCUUUUCAUCACUAAUUUGUCAGUAUAAAUGUUUUAUAUUAUGGAGAUACAUAUAUUAAUUACUUUCCUAAUGACUGAUUACCUGGAGCCAUGUAGCCAUAAGACCCCGCUACAGCAGUCCAGUUGGAGGAAUCGGAGGUCAGUAUCCUUGCAGUUCCAAAGUCGGAUAGCCGUGGCACGAAAUCAUGCUGCAGUAGUAUGUUGUUCAAAGUUAUGUCCCGGUGAACAAUCGGUGGUGAGCAGUCAUUGUGCAAGUAAGAAACUGCAUGUGCUACUCCUUGCACAAUUUUCACCCUUGUGUCCCAGCCAAGUAUCUCUUCUUCGCCUUCCACCCCAUACAAUACCAUUUUCAAACUACCUCUCUCUGCAUAUUCAUACACCAAGUACAAGCACUCCAUCCAGCAACAGAACCCAUAAAGUUUUAUUACAUUUCUGUGCCUCACUUCUGUCAGGGUUCUUAUCUCGUUCUCAAAACUCUGGCCAAUCAAUACUGGAAUGUGGUCACAAGCAUCUACCGGAAUCCUCAUUUUCUUAACUGCCACAACUUCACCUCUACCCAACACUGCCUUGUAGACACUUCCAAAUCCUCCUCUUCCAAUGAGGUACUUUUCAUCAAAAUUCUCUGUGGCUGUGACGAUUUCAGAAAAUGUAAAAUUUUCAUCUCUCCUCCAAAUGGUUGAUCCAAAACUGUCAGACACCCCAAGCUUUGAUCUCUUACAGAAAUUAAGGGUAACAGAAAUUAUUGUCACAAUCAUCAAUAGACCGCAAAUGGGAACAAGGACACCAACAAGAAUUUUCUUAUCGGAACUUUUGUGAUCUGAAGUGCAUGGAGUGAGUCCCUCUCUUUCUCCGCACAAACCACCAUUUCCAACAAAAGCAUUCGGGAGCUUCUUUUCAAAAAUGCCACCGGUUGGGAUUGUACCUGUCAAGUUGUUGUAAGAAAAAUCAAUGCCGACAAGGCUAUGCAUACUGCGUAAUGUUGCUGGGAUGUUCCCUGAGAGUUGGUUGUGUGACACAUUAAGAAACUCCAGCAUUUUGAGCUUGGCGAAGUUUGAAGGUACUGAUCCUGAAAAUGUAUUGCUGCUGAGGUCUAAGAAGUACUGAAGGCGUAGAUUACCAAUCUCCUCUGGUAUUCCACCUGAUAAUUUGUUGUGGCUUAUGUUCAAACUUAUUAAGCUCUUGAACGUUCCAGACUCGACUGGUAAUACUCCUGUAAAAUUAUUAGCAGACAAAUCAAGAAACUGCAGCAUACUCAGUCCGCCUAGAAUCUGAGGAAUUGUUCCUGUCAGGUGGUUCCUGCUUAGAUCUAGAGAGUACAACAAGCUUAUAUUUGCAAUGAAAGCCGGAAAUUCCCCGCUGAAUUCAUUAGCGCCUAGGCUUAGAUGCUGCAACUGUGUAAGCUGCCCCAGCUCUGGUGGGAUUUGACCAGAAAUUCUAUUUCCGUCCAUUUGCAUAUCCGUGAUGUUUUUGCAUUCGCCCCACUCUGGUGAAAGCUGACCAACAAACUUGUUGUGACUAAGAUAAAUUUUAUCAAGAUGGGGAUGAACACCAAAGGCAUUGGUAAUGUCACCGGUGAAUUGGUUUACAUCAAGCCUUACUCUAAUUAAUGCAGAACAAUAUCUCAAGCACUCAGGCAAUGGCCCUGUGAAGUUGUUUUGGUUCACAAUGAAACGUUCCAGAGAAAAUCCACUGCACAAUUCUGGUGGCAAUUCUCCAGAGAAUUUGUUAUUCAAAAGGUUAACAAAUCUCAACUUAGGACUGUAUUUGCCAAAAUCAAUGGGAACGGUUCCAGAUAAAUUAUUGCUGUGCACAGAAAAGAGCUGGAGGGUUGUGAGGAAAGAAAUGGUCUUUGGCAACUCCCCUUCAAGUUGGUUUUCAGAGAUAUCUAAUUUUCUCAUAACUUGCAAAUUUCCAAUAUCUAAGGGAAUUGAUCCAGAGAAGUUAUUUUUGUUCAGAGAGAGGAUAUCAAGUCUUGUCAACAGGCAAAGUUCUGGUGGAAGGUUCCCACUGAGCCUAUUUUUUUGGAGUUGCAAGGACAACAUUUCAGUCCAAUUGGAGACAAGAGAAGGCAAAACUGGCCCAGUAAAUAGAUUAUCAGAUAACCUCAAGUCCACCAAGCUGUGGAGAUUGGACAAGGACAGAGGCAGCUCCCCACUGAGUUUAUUCACAGCCAAGGACAAAUAAGAGAGGUUGGUACAAAGGCCAAGCUCUGAAGGGAUUGAAGAGUUCAAGGCAUUCUCUCCAAGGUCAAGGUGUUGAAGCUCCCUCAGUUUCCCAAAAGAGGAUGGAAUGUUGCCUUCAAGAGAAUUUCUAAACAGGUCAACACUUCGGAGACCAGAUAUUGAGCCAAUAUCUUCAGGAAUUGGACCACUGAAGUUGUUUUGUCCCAAAUAAAGGUGUUUAAGCUUGGGGAAGCUAUAUGGAAUUGGCCCUUGGAAUAGGUUAUGGGUGAGAUUGAGAUAUUCAAGCUUCCCCAGAUUGGUAACUACCAGUUUCGGUAUUUGGCCGGUCACAAGAUUUGCAGACAAAUCCAAGAAGGUCAGGUUCCCACAUUCAGAUAUAAAUUCUGGGAACUCUGAAGCCAAAUUGUUCAGAUGAAGAUCAAGGUAUGUCAACAAAGGAAAGCCUGAAAAUUUGGACCAAUCAGGAGUGCCCAACUUGUUCUUUCCAAGAAGCAAAUAUUGUACCUUUUUGAGAUUAUCCAGCUGAUAGGGAAUGGUACCAUUGAGAUUGUUGUUGUAGAGACUUAGAAACUGAAGCUCCGUUAACAUUCCCAUUUCCGCAGGCACUUCCUGUCCAACCAGAUUGUUGCCCAAAUCCAAGACUGUCAGCUUACCAAGGUUGCCAAUGGAAGAUGGUAUAGACCCUGUGAAACUGUUAUUAUUGAGGUUGAAGCAAACGAGAUCGAGAAACCUGUUGAAAUUGAACUGAGUUAGUGUUGCAGUGAUGUUAAAGUUUGAGAGGUUAAUUUCAGAGACUGUUUUGGAGUUGGGGUCGCAGACAAUGGCAGUCCAGGUGCAAAGGUUGUUUAUGUUUGUGAGGGACCAUGAACUGAGAGAAGGUGGUGCAUAAUAAAAGCUGUUCUUCCAGCUUAUUAGAGCUUCAGCCUGUGCUGUUGGUGAUGAGGUGGCCUUCAAUGAUAGCAAAGAGACUAAGAAAAUAUGGAGGACAAGAAAAAGAGGAGGCUUCUGAACUCCCUUCAUGGUUUUAAAAUUUCGAUCAGUUUUGAACUUUUAGUGUUAUAUCUCUGAGAUCAAUGAAGAAGUAAAUGUUAGAUGAGAUUACAAGAAAUAUAUAUAAGCAUAUAUAUUCUGCAAAGAAGAAAUAUACUGCAGAUGUUUAGUUGGUUGCUUGGAAAUUUCAGGUCAUUAGAAAUUGUAUAUAGAAUGACUUGUGAGUCAAGUUUUGUUCUCCAGUAUAAGUCAAUUCCUUUUGUGAUGACAUAUAGUCUUCAAUAUUGGAUUUGUCUUUUGGACUCUUGGAAGAUGCUCUGUAGUUGUUGUAAUACAGUUUGUUCAUUUUUUUUUUUCCAACAUGUCCUAGUCUAUGUAGUCUUCUUUUCAGAGAACACAAGCUUUUCAAUGCCCCAAACUCUAAAUUUUUUACUUGGUUCUGUGGAAUCUUUGUGAUUGUUAUUACCUGUUUCUUAGCUUCUUUACGUACAUUAUAAUUGUUUCGGUGUGAAGCUUUAUAUUUUAUAUUUUCUGUUUGAUGGACUGAUAGGCCUACAUUUUUCUAUAUGAAGAUUGAAAAUUUUCACAGUUUGCACUUAUGGUAAAAGCUUAAUGGUACAACCAUCUGAAUAAAAACAUGCAUAUUAAUGGCAUUCCCACUCCCCUAAUUCUCUAAAUGUAUCUUAGAAUAAAUUCAAAAGAAAAAAAUAAAUUAUCACAAUAUAAGCUGCAGAUAAUAGUGCAUAAUCCAAACAAAACAAAAACAAGAAAAUAAUAGAACAUAAAAAGAUUCCAAUUAACCAACCUGGUCUUGCAUGCAGUUCGUAUGAAAUGGUAUUGUAUUGGUCAACUAUGACGUGCCUUUCCACGAAAUGAGGACUCACUCAAAUCUGAAAAUCAUUAACUCCUUUUGUUUAGCAUUGUUUUGGUGAGCUUCAUCAUUUUAGUUGUUGGAUUGGAUGGUUUUGCUGCGGAUGAUGAUUGGAGAGGAUAAUGAUAUGCAUACUGCUCUGCAUCUAAGUAAAGAUUUGACGGGCAGCCUCCUGUUUGAUACUAUGAUUUCUUCCGGAGAGGAGGCGUCUGAGCUUGGUUGUACUGAUUCAUUUUCCGGUCACACUUUGCUUUAAUGUUUCAAUGCGAGAUUUGGAGCUUUUGGGGUUUUAGUUGCUGCUGGUUCUGUAGCAGAGUUGAUGAAUGGAAACUAUUAAUAGGUUCUGCUUAUGAAAUUGCUAUGAAAAGUAAUAUCCCUAGCAUAUAUCUAUAUGAUCUUGAACAAAAAUCAUGGCAACAACCAUAUCUUCUACAUAUAUCACAAAGUUGUUUUAAUUUUAUAUCCACAUAUACUCUACUCUUAUCAAACCUUACAUUAUUGGAGAUGAAUAGUACGUAUAUUUUUCACCAAAUAACUGGAAACUGGAGGAUUCAAGACUUGGAAAAUCAAGUCAUUAUUUACUGUAAUUUAUAUAGAUAUUUACUGUUGUAGAGUCAAUUUCUGUUUUCUGGUAUUAAUAUAUUCCUUCUGUAAUGACUCAGAAGCUUCAACAUCGGAUUUUUCUUCUGGACUUUUGGAAGACUGACUUAUUGUUGUUAUUCUGAUUCAAGUUUAUUAAUUUUUUUAUUUUUUAUUUUUUUUCUUUCAAAAUGCUAGCUAGUCUAUGUAAUCCUCCAAUCAUAGACCUAGUGAUUUCUAUGUGUUGUUAACCUGUCAUUACCUGUUUGCUCCUCAUGUCUAUUACAUUUGUUUCAUUUUGAAGCUAUUGCUAUUUUAUAAUUUUGGUUUGAUGAACCCAAUUAAUAGGCCCAGAUUUUCUAUGAAGACUAAUUGUAUAAGGAUUUUUCAUAAAUCCACAGUUUGCACUUACCAGAAAAGCUUAAUUAAUCGUAUAAAAAAACUAAUGGGUGUGCAAUCUUAAACACUAGGUAAAAGCAAAAGCUAUCAUAACUCCAACAUUCCUUUUUAUUAAGCUGUAUAUAUGUAUAUGUAUACAUGAUAUCAUCAUGAUCUAUGUAAACAAACCUAGUACAGUUCUAUAUUAGUCUAACAACAGAUCCUUUCCUUCUCAUCUCUCUGUAAAUCAAAUAUCUAAAACAUAAAUCUAUCACAUAUAAUAUCAUUCAAACAAAAACAUGCAAAUUUCAUUUUGAUUACCCUGAAUUGUGAAUUCUCGUUCAGCACAUGAAAAUUAUUGAAUGUAUCAUAAAAUAAAAUAAAUAAAAUUCAAUAAUAAAGAAAAGUUUAGUGUAUAGAUGCAAAAUGUAGGCAUAUAUGCUUACCAAAGAAAAAAAAAAAAAAAAAAAACAAGAAAGAAAAAAAAUAAUAGAUAUUCCAACCAACCUAAUCUGUCAUUUAGGUACGAAAAGAGGNAUCACCACUGUUGGUAACGUUUUCAGCACACCAGGUUUUCAGUACAACCAGUCCUUUUUUCUGGGGUAAUUCGUUUACCCGGGCCCCUACCUAAACUUAGAAAUGAUCUACUCGUCUUUGGUUUGGGNNNNNNNNNNNNNNNNNNNNAAANAAGAAAGAAAAAAAAAAAAAAAAAACAGAAGAAAAAAAAAUAUAGAUAUUCCAACCAACCUAAUCUUGCAUUUGGUACGAAAAGAGGCAUCACCACUGUUGGGAACGUUUUCAGCACACCAGGUUUUCAGUCAACCAGCUUUUUCUGGGAAUGUUACCCGGCCCUCAAACUUGAAAUGAUCUACUCGCUUUGUUUUGGGGACUUCAGCAAGGAAACUGAGCACUACAUAACUACCCUCUCUAAAUCCAAAUGCCUGAACACAACUGCUGGAAUUUUAGUUGAUAAUUGAUAAGCAAAAGCUUCUUCUAGGCAUGUACUAUUUCAAAAAGAUAAUUCUUUUCCGCCACAGCAUACUUUUGCAUCACCCACACAUCAAACUUCUCAUAAACACGUACUUAACCAAAGCAAGUGAUUCCUCAUAUGCUGAAACAACCAACAAUACUUACUCGACGUACAUAUCGGCACAGUGAUACAAUAUUCACAAUAGUGGGGGGGGGGGGGGGGGGGGGGGGCGGGAAGGAUAGCAAACAUUAAGCUAUCCUGAUAAUAAAGAGAUAUAGUAAUAAAUAAAAAAACAAGUACUGGAAAGUAAAAGAAAUAACACCAGUACGUUUUUUACUCACAGAAACCCUGCACCAGGGAGAAAAACUGUGUGCCUAUAACUCUUGAGGGACAAACUUUUCCACUAAGUAAAACUCAUUUCUUACAAGAUUAUAGUCUAAGAAUACAACGACAAUUUGCAAACCUGCCUAGUCUACCCACUAGUCUAGAUCUAUCUCUCCUGUCUCUGAGUGACUCACUCACUCCUCACAAGAUUAUAGCUCUAGGGCUACAACAACGACUUGCUAUCCUGCCUAGUCUACCUGCCUAGUCUACCUACUAGUCUAAACCUAUCUCUUUUGUCUCUCAAGUGUUUACAUACGAAGGUAUAAGAAGUUUCAACUCAUAACUCAGCUAUCACUUAACUGAUUCUUCUUGAAUACUUCUCAGAAGACACAAUUUCGAACUCAGCUAUCCUAUUAAGAUUGAUUCAUCAGACCUCAGCUAACACCUUUAACUGACUCUCUUAGAACCCAGCUCUCCUCGAUCAACUGAUUCUUCUUGAAUGUUUCUAGGGUUGCUGCACUACCAACUCUCAUGAUAUGCAGAAUGCUUAUGAGUUUAUGUAAAAGAGUUUUUGUUCUUUGCUCUAAGAUUUACAGUCAACAAAGGAAGACUUAGAGCAUGCAUGAACAAUGCAAGCUGAGAACAAACUCAGCAAAUAAAAAUGUAAAAACUACAUUUUGACAACCAAGGAGCAAGAAGAGACUUGCUCCAUAUAUAUAGGCAAAGUGCAAGAUAAAGGAGAGCAUGCA
This 61294-nucleotide long non-coding RNA is filed under the name Fragaria vesca (wild strawberry). RNAcentral's name for it is "long non-coding RNA (FVES_LNC000575)". The stretch from base 35088 to 35182 matches the Rfam family "tRNA". The record is from RNAcentral. Lineage: Eukaryota; Viridiplantae; Streptophyta; Magnoliopsida; Rosales; Rosaceae.